UACAUUCAUUUUAUUUAAGAAAGAUAAAAUUUUCAUAUAAUAAUUAGUAAAUUUUUAGAUAUAAUUUUAUCAAACAACUCUUAUGUCAAUGUAUAUUAUUUUUUAUUUAUUGUUUAUUAAACACACAAAUAAUUUUACAACUAAAGACUCACUCUUUUUUUUUUUAAUAUAUAUUAAAAUACAAAUGUAUUUCUAAUUGCACUAGUACUAUAUUAUAUGCUAUAGCUCUAAUUUCAACUCUCUUUCUCUCUGUCGUAUGCUUUGUGCCUUCAUGUAUUAUAAUAAUGAUGAAGGUCUUCACUAAAUUAAAGUUUAGUUUCUCGUAACAAAAGAUAAUUUAUUUAAUGAGUACAAAAUUGUUUGCAACAUAUUUUUUUGAGCUUUUGAAAUGGAAAUGAUUUAUUGGUGUGUGUUCUUAUUCUCUUUCCCUGCCUGCUUUCAAUGGAAAUGGUCUUUCUUUCCCUGUCAUAUUCCACAUUCCUUAACCUUGCUUCUCCGAUCUUGUUUGUGCAACAAAUCUGUUUUAGGUAAAACAUCACGACUUUGCCAAGAUUGGACGUUUCGAUUCCAAUUCAGAACAGAGAAACUUGUUGUAUAUGUCAGGACCAAGAAGUUAGCAUACAGGAAAGUAAAGAAGAAAGAUGGAAUACAUGGAGAGGUAAGAGUGAUGAUACUCGAGCAAAAGGCGAGAAAAAGAAGAAAAGAUGUAGUCACCUGAAUCCAUUCUUCUCAAAAUUUGUUGGUCAAUCUUUUCAGACAUAUAUUAGUCUGUGAUCAACGUGAAUAUUCUACAAACAAAGAUGAGAAAUGAAGGAGCAAAUUCCACAUGUCGGCCUAACAAUCUCAUUCAUGACUUUGCAUGCCUACCAAAAAGAAUGUUCGUUCGUCCUUCAAGUCCACGCAUGCUGUUCCUUUCAUGCCUAAAUCACCUGUACCAUAUACUUCCGAGAUUUCUCAAUCUUAAACCAAUUCAAAGACUCUACCCAACCAAUAUAUAUAUAUAUAUAUAGGAGAUGUUGGAACGAUCCAAAUUGAUCCGAGCAGUUUGAUCCAACAUGGAGUGGGAGUCGAAUAGUGGAGACAAAGCCCUUGAUCUGAUACCUAUAAAAGAAGAUCAAUGUUGGAUGUGCCCGACCUGAUACAAUGCCCCUAGUGAGCAAAGAGAGAGAACAAAAGGAUGCAUAUAUGUGUCUCUUAAACAAUUUAAAGAACAUUUAAUAAGCAUUUUUUUUAAACUUCAUACAGAGGUUUAAUGUUGUGAACAUUAAACUCGAACAUACUUGUCUGCAAGACUUCUCUUUUAUAGCUGCAAUCAGUGUUUUUGUUGUGUGUGCAGAAGAUUCUUGCUGCCUGGACACUGUAAGCUUUUCUUUUAGCAGUUGCUCUCAAAGUCUGAAUUAUUCCUUCAAAACUUGCCAAGGACUUGUCCAUUUCCUCUUCCAGACGCAUUGCAUGUUCAUGUGUGUUAGCUGCUGCAAGAAAAAUUAAUUUAAUUUAUUGUAUCCCUUGUGUUGGAAUAAUACACCAUCAAAAGAUAUAUAAACAUGAAUAAUUUACCAUUUACUUUCUUUUGUUGGUAUUGUGCAUUUCACUAAUGUAGCCAACAAGGGGGGCCGCUGCUUGGACCCAACAAGCUCAAGCUAUUAGGUUAUAUGAAACCUUCUCCUAUGUUUGAGCUGUGAUCCUGACUUUUUAACUUGGCAUCUUUACAGCAUAUCAGAUCUGUCAUCCAGAUUUCAUACUCACAGCUGCGAGAUCAACACCGACUCAAUCAUGAAGUAUUAUUAGCAAGGAAGAAAGGUGGUGGCCACAUGACAUGAAUGCAUACAUACACAACCCCCCCAUGUCCUCGAUCGAAGUAUUAGUUGGUCGCAGCUUGCAGUAGUACCAAAGUGUAGGUGGCACGUCACAUGUCCUCUCCGUUCUGGUCGAUUCCCAUUUGCCCUGCCACAAGAAUCUGAGUUGGAUUUGGUCUUCUCUUACGAGGGUGGAUCUACUUCUCACGGCAAAACAGGACCGUAACUUUUGUGUCUUUAAUAGCCAACAUCUAUAGAUCUGUGAUGGUUAAUUACUACAACCGACACACACAACACACAUAAAGCAGCAAAGCAAAGCAGCUCUUUCUUCAACAUAGACCACGAAGUACAGCUUCAAAUCUUAUUUGCUUGAAUUAUAACUACAGAAAAGAAAGAGUAAGAGUGAAGCAGUACAGAUCACAUUCCCACCAUGGCUAGCAGAAGAUUUCCGAGGGUUUCUCCUUGUCAAAGCGAACGCUUCUUACAGCACAAGCGCACAGCUUACAACCUCGUUUAAUCCUCUCCCUCUCCCUCCAAGAAAUUAAAACUAAAGAAUAACAGCAUGAUAAUAAUAACGAAGCACUACAUAUCUUCAAACAGUAGUCUCUUUCUUAUCAUCAUCAUCACAUAUAUAGAUAUAUACUUGUGGAUGUAAGUAAUCAUGAUAGCUCUUCUGGCUUCCCAUCAUCGAAGUUUUGUGCGUAGCCGACCGAGUCAUACCUAAAUCCCUGUGUGGUAGGGAGGGAGUUGGAUCGCAUGAGCUUCCUGAUCUCCGAACGCACCCUGUGGAAGAUGUGCCGCCAGCUCCCCUUGCUGUGCCACCCGAGCAUGGCCGUCUCCUCCUCGUUCAUCUCGAUGUCCUGAGCGAACACCGGCUUCCUCGACAGGAUCCACCCCCACCACGAGCCCCACCACCUCCUCAGAGGCCCACCGGCGAACUCCCCGAUGGACGGCAUGGACUUGCACCGCCUGAUGGCCCAUUCGGUGGAGACCGAGGACAAGGGCUGGAUCUUGACGGAGAAAGACGAGAUCCGCUUCCUCAGGCCUAUCAGGUGGGUGUCCUGCUGCUGCUGCUGCACUUGGAAGGUGGGGAGCUCGUCCUUGUAAGGCAUGGUGGGGAAGAACCUUUUCUUCUGGACAUUCUCGAACAAGGAGCCCAUGGUUGCAGGAGAAGAGAGAAGAAGAAGAAGAAGAAAAGGAUUUGAGGUUGGCUUCUUCUCUUAGCUUUUGGUGGCACUUAAGGAAGGCCAAGGGUAGAUAGAGAGAGAAAGAGAAGCCCAGCACUGUGGACAGGCUGGUUCAAUGGGAGAACGGCGGGGGCCACGAAAUGCUUUUGUCUCUGCUGCUUUGGACCCCUCAAAACUAGAGGAGGUGGAAUCAUUUUGGCAAUUUACCAAGCAAUUAUAUUUUUUAUUAAGUUAGACAUCAGCAUCUCACGUUGUUCAUAAUUUUUUGUCCCUGGUAAGAGAAGCAGUGUGUUGAUGACUUUUGUAAACCUCUGAAUGUGGGACCAGGAAUUUGGUGUGGGUCCUUCGUUUAGUAAGGGUAGAUCCAAUCUCCCUUUCCGAUUUGACACAAUCAUUAGUUUUUGUGUGGCAUUUUUCAUACAUGAUGAUGGUCUUUCUUAUUCCGGAUUUGCCAAUUAUUUCAUUAUUUUUCGAGAGUCGGAUGUCUCGAAAAAUAAUCUUUUAUAUCAUGAUGAUGAUGAUGAUGAUUAAGUAUCAAACCCUCCUCAAAGUUGAGACAUCAUUCAAUAAAUAUUUACACCUAAAACAUUUAAGAUCUUUCUGAUCUGUCUUGUUUUCAAAGUGUUUGUUGAAUUUCUUAAGUACUAUGUCUUUAUUAAGGGCUUUAUGUCGCUUACUUUCGAAACUAAUCAAUAUUUUCUUUUAACACCUUAGUAAGAUUGCACUUAUAUUGGCAUCUCAUCAUUUAAGCAAAUUCAAUUACUUCAAUACAAAAUCAAUGUUCUCAUUUAUCACAGGGUAACUUUUUUUGAAGGCGUUAGCUAUGUAUGACAAACAUGGAAGCAGAGGUGCAACUCUAUUAUUUCACCCUCGUCAGAAGAAAAUAGACAUCCAGAGAAAUGUACAUUGCAAAAUCUGGGAGCGAAAACACCCAGGAGAGGUGUCGGUUCUAAUGUCCCAAUCCUUCCACCACGUUUCCUUCUUGCUGCCGACGCUUCUUGUGCCCCCCCCAACUCCAUUCAUGGUCGGUGGGAGAGAGUUGCCCAAGGUUUAGGUGGUGAAUCAUGUCGCCUUUGGUGUGAUGGAAGGUGACACACACCCCUCCGUUAGGUAGCAAGAAUUAUACUAUCAGCGUGACUCAAUCAUCAAAAUCUCAUCCUUUUCUAGUGGAGAAGAUGUAUUCUGUAGCGAGCACCCAUUUAUGUUCUUUCUACAUGUUCCCACAUACAAAACCAGCAAGCUGUCUUCACAACAUGGAUAAGGGUUUGAGAUUUGAAGUCCAGUCACAAAGAGACAAGAUUUGUCUCGAUCCUGGAUUUCCAGGAUGAUGAUACCUCAACACUCUGUCAUUGACAAGCUUGGAGAUUCUUGGUGAAUGAAUACAUUAUAUAUAUAUAUAUAUAUAUAUAUAUAUAUAUAUAUAUAUAUAUAUAUAUAUAUAUAUAUUCCAUCUAAUCAAUUUUGCAUCAUAUCUUCAAUAAAAUGAUAGGGAGCCGAGAGGAUGGAUGAUAGUAUCUGUAAUCCUCCUCUCUGGUGUAAAUAGCAAACUAAGCUAGAGAUUAUCAUGUUCCUCCUGAUCACUAUCCUAAUUAUGUUAAUUAACGAUUUACUUAUACAGCAAAGUACAACAAGAUAUAAAUGGAAAAUUCAGGCAAUUAUUUGGAUUUAUUCAGUUCUCCUAGAGUUCUGAAGAAAACAAAAUUUUCCUUGAUGAUUGUUCUUAUAUGUGUAUCUAUAAUGUGAUUACAAGUUCUAUAAAAUUUAGCUUGGAAACCAUCAGGCCUUGUCACAUUUUUAAUCACCCAGUUAAGCUCUAUUACAUGGAAAGAAUAGUAUUAGAAAUUUCUGAGGUUUCUAUAUAUCAUAAAAGUAACUUUCGAUUUACAUCUCCGAGCUUCAUCUAAUGGAUUUGGACCUAUGCUUAAUAAUAUUUUCCUCAGCUGACAAGAAGUCAUAAUAACCUUCCUUUUGAUGUUUUCUCUCAUAUGGAACUAAUCCUGUGUUAUAUUUAAUCUAGCAUGGUCUUCUCCGCAAUCAUGACUAACACUAUUAGUUACUCUGUUGAUAUAUAUAGCAACACCACUUGACAUCAGCAAAAGACUUAAUCGAAAGGCUUAUGCCAUUAACAAGAUUCCUUACAGUCCAGAGCUACAAAGCCAACUAGUGAUUUGAUUAGAGUCCAGUUACACCAAUACCUGUACAAUUCAAAGAAAUGUUUUAUCUCAUUGAGAACACAAUUACUAACCAUAGCAGCAUUGCCCGAGAUCCAUCUUAAAGACCACUCACUAUAUAUGAAGUGUUAUCUCAUGCAGUGCUUCCGUAUCCAACACAAUGCAUCACAACGCCCAUGCCCGUAGCGUUCCCUGAUUAAUGAAACAGCACAAUGUUUCAAGGGGUUUACAAUGGUGGCUGCUCUAUAAAUGUAGAAUAAUUCAGUAUCUUGUAUCUUCCUUCUCUCUCUCUCUCUCUCGCUCUCCUCUGCACCUUAUGUUGGAAGCGAACUCGGCUUUUAACCGUGUUAUCUGAUGAAAACUAGCGGGCGGGCAUCAUUGUAUGUUGAAGUUGAGCCAAGUUUAUACCACAGGAAGAAAUGCGAGUUUACGGCAUGGGACGAUGGAGUAGUAGUACAUUGAUUGGAAUGUGGGAUGGAUCUUAAUAUACCAUUCCAAACACUAUAUUACGGCCAUUCGAAUUGAGUAUAGAGAUUCCUGGUCUGGUCCCGUGGUGCUUGCACCAAAACACGGCCACCAAGAUGGAAGCAUGUUUGAAGGGAAGGGAUAGAGCUUUACAGCUCAUCUUUUCUUAGAUGCAUGCAGCUUGAUCUGUUGCUUCUUUCUUUCUUUGGAUUGGGUCCAUCUGACAAGUCGUCUUACAUGGAUAUCUGGCUAUUUGGAUUCCUCAGGCAUCAGAGCCAGCUGUAAGUCGACCUUAUUGGUAGUACUAAUAAGAUCGAGGAUGGCUCCAUCCCCCUCCUGCUACAAGGGGCUGUAAGUGGCAUCGGGUGAUUCCAUGGAUUUGUGAAUGCUUCAGGCGCACUGGUUGACAUUGGAGUGUACGCCACAUCUGAUGCCACCAGCCGCUUCUUAAAGCCCUUCCAAACAAAAGAUAUAAGGUUUGGGUCAGACAACCUGCUGCUUUUUGCCUUUUAUCUGUGCUUUCGAGGACGACUUAAUUGACACUGCCUACGAUUCUCUAUCCACCAAUCUAGAAGACAACGUUACGGCGAUUCAAGUGGUGUAUUGAGUUGGCUGUUGCACUAUUUCUUUUGCUUCGUUGGUGCAAAAGUAGAGAGCUGCUCUUGUCGCAACCUCCAUUAUUCGAAUACACAAAUUAAAUAUAUGAACAAAAAUAAUUCACAUUCUACUGAAAUGAAAUAAUCUGAUACAAAUAGAUAUUAUAUUAAACCAAACAAGUAUUAUAUUAAUACUAUUAUAAUCUAAUACAAAUGGUACUAAUCCCAUAAGUACCUUGUCAGAAAAAGUACAAGACAAGGUUAGGUAUUGAUCAAUCUAAUCCCAAAAGUCGAAUAAUACUAGUUGAAACUUUUUUUAGGCUAAUUUAUUGAAAAAAGCUCAUACUGUUGUCCUUUUUGGGAUAUUAUCCCAUUUUUACUUGGGCCAUCCUUAUUUUUUUAUUUGUAUGGAAAUACCCUUAAGGCUCUUUGCCUCUUCAUCCUCUUCCUCCCCCUCCACCUUGCGUCCUCAGUGUUCUCUCGUCCGUCCCCCUCUUCGCUCUCCCCUGCCUCAGCGUCCACCUGCUACUCCCUCUCAUUUGCCUUCUCCUCCUCCUCUAAGCACACUAAGAGUGACUAAUCAAACUUGAUUCCAUUAAAUCACACUAAGAGUGGCUAAUCAGAUGCGACUGCCAUAUUUGAUUCCAUCAAAUAAGUAUACAGUGUAUUCAAUACUCUAAGCACUUCUUUUCCAGGAAUCUCCCGAAUGAUGAGGGGCAGGAAACAAGCCACUGGAGGAGCCCAGUCAUGAACAUUUAACCACUCAUCAACACAAAUAUUUUCAUCACUAGCUAAAGUCAAUAUCUGAAUUCUGAAGUAAUAAAGCAGAUUAUAGGACAAACACUUGCUACAAAUUGAUAGGUCAGGUCUUAAAACCCACAGUCGUUUCGUUUCAAGGUUUUGAUGCUUUGUGUAGGCUAAUAUUCAGGUAUGCACAAGUAUUCUGGACUGAAGAAAUCAGGUGAAACAAGAAGAAAGAGGAAGAGCCUGUUUUGGAGUUUGACUUUUCUUAUGUUACAGGAAAAACUAACAAAACCUAGCUAAAUGCACAUAAUAGUUUGUUCUACCUUUGUUUUUAUUCAAAAUUUUUAUUCGUAAUAUAACACCUCAAAGAAUUUACAUCUACAUACUGACCUUCUGUCACUCGAAAUGAAGUUCGAUAAAAUAGAGAAAGAUGAUUUUCAUACCUCCCUCUCCUAAAUUUUACUGUUGACUUCAAAAACUGAAUUACCUUCGUCUUAUAAAUUCUUAAUCACGAGUAAUGUUAUUGUAAUCGUGCUGUUGACCUCUGGAAUAUUAUUGUGUAUAUCCAUCUGCCUCAAGAAUUUCACCACUAAUCUAUCCUGCAGAAGUACCAAAUGUUUUCCAUAAUCUUGACACCUAAAACAGAUUCAUUAUUAACAGCCCAUCCUGCACAACAAAAUUAUGUAUCAUCUUUGUUUACCAUAAUUGAGAGUGGGUCUUGGUGUCACAGUAAGAGUUCUCCCUUACAAUGUAUCUAGGUGACUAGAAUUUAAGUUACAGGAACAGUCCUUUUGCUAACAAAAAUAAAGUUGCACAUAUCAAUCCUCCCACAACCUAUAUUGGCGGGAGCCUAGUCACUAUGCUACCCAUUUUUUUAUCUUUGUUAUUCAACUUUUCCUUCAACAAUCCUCCCUAAGUAUAGAAGAUUUCCAUCAUUUUUCUUUAUUUUGUUCCCAACUGAAUUUAGUCUCAAGCUAGAAUGUAAUGUCCAAAUGUCUAGUUUCUUAUUGUCGUGAUAUCAACAAUUUGAUAUUAUUUCCAUCUUUAACAAUAUGCUUCAAGUAGUAAACCAAAUCCUUACCUCCAAAUACUAGCUUCUUUACCCACUGAAGCGCUAUUUGAUGUAAACGAUACAGGUCUAGUUAUCAGGGAAGCCAGAUGUUAUGUAUGCAUCGUGACUUUUCUAAUGGCACGAUAAAACACAUAACUAAACUCAAGCCUCUCCAGAAUAAGAAUAGACAAAAUCCUAAUCUGUGGCUGCAGAAAAAUUCAACUGUCAGUUUCAGCUGAAACUAAUGUGUUGUUCAGAAAAUUUUCUGAAUAUUGUCACCCUUAAUUUUAUAGAAAAUUGUAAAAGUUUUGCUGAAAUCUGAAAGCCAACCUAAAACCAUUGAAACCACAAGAAGUCUCUGAAAUUUCUAAUGACCUGGACAAAUUGAUAACAAAAGUUUAACAAGAAAUCCUUCAGACAAAGUGGAUGAAAGAAGCAACAAUAAGUAUUCUUAGAAACCACCUACAGCAAGUUUUUGUAGAUAAAUUAUAGCAGCUACAGAUGGAACCAAGUGCUUGCAAAGUAGCCAAACAAGCUUAACGGAUGUAAUUAACUACAAAUCUAUCAGAAUGCUCCCCUAAUAGCUAAUUUGCAAAAUCUAAAAUUCCCAAAUCUGAGAUAAAUUUUGCUUAUGUUCAGUGUUCGAUAGAUGAUGAAAACCCAUGAAGGCUUGUCCCUAAUCUUUGGAGAUAGCUCACAAUUCCCAACACACAAAAGUAAAAUGCACCCUACGAAGAUCCAUCAGUAAGCUGGCAGUACUUUCUUGCUUGAUGCCUACAUGGAGCCAUCGACACUUGUACCGAAGAAGACAAAUAAUUUUGGUUAUAGCAAUGCUGGGAUUUCCCAAGUCAAGAAAUGCUUUAAACACAAACGAUGUACAUCUCUUAGCUCAUCCCCAAUUUCCAAAUGCUACCCAAGCUUAACAACAUAUACAAAAUGCGCAAAUGAUCGAAUGCAAUUCUCGCAAAAGACCAAGCGUACAACAAAAUGCAAGAGCAGAUCACCGGUUAUCGAGCAAGCAAACUCACGGAUUAAUGGGCCUUGCUUCUCCGCUCCGGGCCAGCUUGCGGUUGCUUGUCGGUGGCUAAUCUGUAGAUCCAAUAAACCUGAGAGGAACAAACACGUAUGAAGGGCUGGAAAGGGGCAAAUCGAAGAGGAGAGGGAGGAAGAGUGGCGGUUGAUUACCAGGGCGAAGACAUGGGCGGCGAUGAGGAGGAUGACGAUGGCGGGGAGGAGAAAGUCGAGAAUCCACGGCCGGGGGAUCGGGUGCUGUUCGCCCGCCAUCGAGGGGCAGUAUUGUAGUGUCUGCCGCGACGGAAGAACCGAGGAGACCAAGAGAAACAGACGCCACUUCACUUUCCUCUCUUGUGCUGCUCCACAAUAUGUUUUUGGUUUUAGAAACAGAAGCCCGAAAACAAACUUGAUUGACAUUUUAUCGGAUAUAAUCAGAGUAUAUAUAUCUGAUAAAAUAAAGUUAUAUAUAUAUAAUAAUUUAACUAAGUUAAUUUGAUUGUAACAGAAAUGUUUUAAUCCUAAUUGACAUGUUAUCUGUAAAAAGAUUUGUUGCCAUAUGUAUCCACUCAACCGAGUGGCGUCAAACGCCAUGAACUGAUAUAUAUAUAUAUAUAUAUAUAUAUAUAUACAUAUUUUUAAAAUUAAUAUAACGUCUCAUUAAUAGUAUUUAUACUCAGAAAAUAUAUUAAUCAAGUUGAAAGCUCGAUAUCUAAUAUAUUUACUUACCAAGGGUUAAGAAUUUAAAACCGAUAUAUUUUUAUACUUAAAAUAUUAAUAUAUUAAUAAUAUAUCAGCACUAUUAAUCAAAUCUUAAUGAUCGAGUUAAGUUGGUUAGCUUUAAAGAUGUUUGUAUAUCAUCAUAAGAUCUUGAGUUUGAAUUUUAUUUUUAUUAUUUAUCUUUUGUUCAAAAAAAAUUAUCUUUAUUAUUUAUGAAAUGUUAGACAUCUCAUUUUAAAUUUUUUUAAAAUUUAAAAUAAUGAUAUUUUAGUAUAUAUGAAUUAAGAAUAUGAAAUCUCAUCCGAUAAAUCGUUUUAGAAGUUUUUUUUGUGUGAAAAACAAAAGAUUUACAAAAGUUCCAUUACUGAUUUAAAAUCUAAAAGUAAAUAAAAGGCUGGUGAAGGGUUGACGAUCAGUAGAUCUACAGAGCCCUUAAGCAUUCUGCGUUGGUUGCCCGACCUAUGAUUUAGGACGUGAGCAUUAAAUAUCAAUAGAUGGUCCAUUAAUGGCUAAUCAUCAAGUCAAUUGACCCUACACACCUUUAAAUAGCCAUUAAUUUUCGGCACAUUUUCUUGUGUGGUUUACUUUUUACCAUAAAAAGGACCCAAAAUGUACAAAGAUUUCAGGCAAACAUUCCCAAUAUCAUAAUUCUAAAUAUCAUCAUCCAUAGAAUUUUAUAAGUCAACAUUGAUCGUGUGAAUCUACACAUCUUUAAAUAGCCAUUAAUUUUUUUUCUUUGUGACCUAUCUUACCAUUAAAAGUAUUUCAGCCAAACAUUCCCAAUAUCUUAAUUUUAAUGUUUUAUAAAUCAAUAUAUGAUGUGAAUUUCAUAUGUUCAAAAAUUAUUCGUCUUACAUAUGUCAAUAUAAUUUUAUUCUUUCGAAACUUGGUUUCGUAUUUCUCAAUCAACUCGGCUUACAAAAAUUAUUCGGCUUUUAAGGAUAAAGGUGAUCCGAUAAAUUCAUAAGCUCUUGGUUUCGUAUUUCUCAAUCAACGUGGGACUAAAUGUCUUUAUUAGAUUCACGCUAAAAGAAAAACCAUGAGCCGACUCCUCUUAGGGGGAAGUACUGAUAAAAACAUUUAGUCUCUUGAUUGAGUAGGAGAAUCAAGGGCUUAUAAGUCUACCGGGUCACUCUUACCCUCAAAGUUAUCUUUUGGAACUCACGAGACUUAAAAGGAUAAAAUCGUAUGAGCAUACCCAAAAUAAAUAAUUUCUCAAGAACCUACGGGACUGUGUUAAUGACGAUCAAAUAUAUCAACUUAUUAGAUUGGUGCUAGAAUGAGGGUUAUGAGCUCUAGGAUCCUUGAGUACUAAUAAAGAUAUUUAGUUUCACGUUGGUUGAGAAGUAGCAAAACGAAGGGGGCUUAUAAGACUGUUGGAUCACUGUUAUCCUCAAAGGUUUUUUUUUAAACUCACAAGUCUUGAAAUAACAAAAUCGUAUGAGUAUACUCAAAACGAAUAAUUCUUCAUGAGCCUACGAGAUCAGACUAAUGAUGACCAAAUAUUAACUUAUCAAAUUAGUACUAGAAUGAGAGCCGGAAGCUCUUGCCUCUCUUAGGGGGAGUACUACGUCGGGUCACAUUUACUUUCAGAGAUAUUUUUCGGGGCUUGUAAGGUAAAAUCGUAUAGAUAUACUCAAAACGAAUAAUUCCUUCGGAGCCUAUAAGAUCAUAUCAAUAACAACCAAAUACUUGACUUAUUAGAAUUCAUAAAUCAUACAUCCCUAAAAUCCUCAACAAAUACAUGAGUUAGAAUUUAAAUGAGGUUUUUAAAAGAUCAUGGAUUCCAAUAAGCAUAAUAUAGGCUUUUCACUAAAGAAACCUAACAUGCUAAUUUAGACCGGCAAGUGAAGUUAAAAAAUUUCGAACACGUGCAUCCAUUGGCAACAAAUUUUCAAACCGUAUAUGAAAUUAAGAACUAAAAUAAAGCUUCCAAUCUUCGUUGGUUUUAUGUCCAUGAUGACGUUUUAGUAAUUUGACUAUAUAUUUAAUUCAUUUCUUAUGAAAAUGAUUGUAUGUAAGUUAUAAGACAUUAGCUAUAAUAAAAAUGUGUGCUCUCUAUCUAUAAAGAAUAGAAUCGUCAAUUCGAAGACGUGAAGUGAUAGAAAAGAAAUAUUAUAAUUGAGAUAUCGAGAAUCAUUUAUUAUUUUAGGUUGACCUAUUUUUCUUGUAGGACCUCCAUGUCAUCAUUGCUGUGAAGUUUAACGACAGGCUAAAAAGAAAUUAUAGUUCCUCCUCCUAUGUUGCCCCCUACGUUGUCAAAAAUAUGGAACCAAACCAAAAAUAUUGGCUAGUGCUUAUGAAAUUUCAUUUUUGAUUGGAAGAGACAAAAACAAAUCUGAACUUGUUAUAUGUUAUCCAAUGUUUAAACACUGGAAAUAGAAUUGAUUACAUCAAAACAAGGUUCAAAUCUCUUGAUUUAUUAGGAUGUCGCAGAUGCAUGUAUCUUUAUAUUUAUUGUAAUGAUAAAUAACUGUUAUAAUUAUAGUAACAUUAUAUAAAUAGGAAUUAAUCUUAAUAAUAAUUAAUUAAUAAAUUUAUAGUGGAUUAGGUAUAGGAUAAUAUUUUAUAACAUGAAUAGAAUAUUCCCUCAUAGAUAUAAUAAUAUUAUUAUUAUAAUGCUUAUGUGGCUGUCACACGGUGUGGGCCUCACCCUCUCUGUUGAUCGGGCAACCAUAUGACACAUAAAGCUGUGCACGUGCGCAUAGGUCGUCUACUUGCUACAAUUAUCUUUUCGUUAAUAUAGCAUAUUUAAUUCCUAUAAAUUUCAAUAUAUCAUAUAUUUCCUCCAAAUAUUUUAAUUUUCAUACACACCAAUAUAUAUAUAUAUAUUAAAUAUCGUUGUGAAGGUUAUUUUUUUUAACUUUAUGAUUAUAUACAAAAAAACAUUACCAGUCUCUACGGAGGACAUAUAUAUUAAAUUAAUAUUCAUAGGGAAAAAAUGAAAAAAUGCAUCAUUUAGACGAAUAGAAUUUGCAAUUUUCUGGUCUAGACGCUAAAUUUAGCUUACGACGGGGUGUAAAUGAGAAAGUACUCUGAAGGAUCAACAACAUCGGAACGGAUUCGGUACAAGCGAUCACGAUCCGUCCUCGGCAGCAGCUCACUCGCUCUCGCGCUCACUUUCCGUUGCUCGUUUUCGAUCAUGGCCUACGAAGGUGUUCUCUUGGGGAUGGGGAAUCCCCUCCUCGACAUAUCCGCCGUUGUCGAUGAGGAAUUCCUCAACAAGUAUGUCCAGUCCUUCACCGAUCCCGUUUCUCUUUCCCUGUUCUUGGUUUUCUGAUGUUUAGAUCUCACUUUCUGGCCUGUUCUUCGUCGCCGGCGUGUGGAUUCGUGUCCUUGUUUUUUUUUCUGGUUCAGUGAUCUGUUUUAGGCUCCGGGUUUCUGCUUGAGCGCGUUGAGGUCUUAAAAGUUGGCUUUUCUCUGGAGAAACGGUGAAGCUUAGAUCGUUUUACUUGGAUCAGUGGUUGAUGAUGAGAUCGGAUUUGGUUUCUUCUUUAGAUCUGAGCUUGUGGAAAUGAAGCUUGGGUCGUGGGAUCAGAACAACUGCUUGUAUUUAUACUGCUGCUGUUCCAUGCUGACAGAUCCUGUUUCUUACCGAUUUUGAAAGCAUAUGCUUAUUGAUUGAAGUUAGUCGUUGUCUGAGGUCACAUCUUAUAGAUUCGAAUUUUUGGAUUGCAUUGGAUGACUUUGAAGUAAUCUGAGCUGAUUAUUUCCUGCAUUUAUUUUAGAUUAUUGUGGAUCUGUUUGUCGCUUCCAUGUCCAAUAUGUAAAGCAUGCGAAACUAAUGAUACUUUUUCGUAAUGCACGAAUCAUGACUGGUUGAAGUGUUUCUUGGACUGUAGAUACUUUAUGUAAUGUAUGCUUCUCUUUGUGGGAUUAAUCAAGUGUUGGUACAUUGCUGUAGAACCAGUUACAUUCCUAUAUUUUAUCGUUUGGUUAUGCAUCAAAGGAGCAUACAAGAAUAACUGAUGAUGCUUUCUGACGCACCUCAUUGUUGUGGCAUACAAUUCAUCUUUGCUGUUAACAUGUUUCGGAAUAGUUUUUGGUGUUACUUGUAAUUUUUCUACAUUGUAGAACUAUAUAUAUAUAUAUAUUAACAGUUCCUUGUGCAACUACAGUCCCCUGCUAUGUCAAAGUCAGAAAACUAAAACACAAAUGCGAUAGAGAUUGUACAUGCAACAACAAACAUUUCUAGGAGCAACUCAGUAUGUUCUGAAAUAAAUUGGAUCAAAUAUCAAUCAAGAAUAUUAGAUGCAUUAACGAUAAUGCAUAUGGCUUUCUUAAGGCAAACUCUUGUUCAGGAUUGGUCAAAAAUAAAUUAUUUGGAUAGUAUCAAGUUAGGCUGGGUAAAAUAAAUCAGAUAAAAGUUUAAAUAAUUUAAUCCGGCAUAAAAUAACCCAUUUAUAGAGCCGAGUGAAAAUUGUUUUAGCAACUAAAAAGAAAAGAGCAUUAAAGGUAAUUGGUUGGGUUAGGAUAGAUUAUAAGACUGAUAUUUCAACCCCAAUUCAUAGGAUUUUAUUUCUUUGGAAUUGUAACUCUUUACUUUAUGACAGUUCUUCUUGAACUCAGCUUUUUGAAAGAUUUUAUUCUUAUGGUGGUUUGUGUCCUUUACUUUCCCUUUCGCUUAAAAGCUGAACUUGGCUAAUGUAUUUCUUAAAUGUCAUAUCAAUAGAUGAUAAAGAUCAGACUAUCGCUUUGGUUGUACAUAUUGCUUCAGAAGUGUUACUUACCUUUUUGUGUUUGCCAGAUAUGAUCUCAAGCCAAACAAUGCAAUUCUUGCGGAGGAAAAGCAUUUGUCAUUGUAAGUUUUGUCAUUGCUGUCUGGUAAGUCAUAUUACCCUGUGCAGCACAAGACAAUUUCUCCUGCCUUUAUUUUUUGGGUGGCUUUUGGUCUUGCAGUGACAUCAGCACUCAAUUGUUUGGUUUUUGUUAUAGAUAUUAUUUUUUCAUUUGCUUUCCAACUUUGAUCUUUUUCUUGUCUGAAAUAUUUGAUAGCCAAUUUAUUCCUUAUUUUACCAGGUAUGAUGAAUUAGCUGCAAAAUACAAUGUCGAAUACAUUGCUGGAGGUAGCAUUUGGGUUGGAGUUGACUAAGUUAAGUUAAUUCAGUUAACUAUUAGUGUAUAAUCUGAUUUUGUGCUAUUUUGAUUUGGUCAGGGGCCACACAGAAUACAAUAAGGGUUGCGCAGGUACUCUUUGCUUUGUUUUCAGAAAUUAUCUUCUAUCAAUAGGUUGAAUAACAAUGGUAUUUAGCUAAUCACAAAUUGAUUCUGUAGUGGAUGCUUCAAAUUCCCGGUGCAACUAGCUAUAUGGGUUGCAUUGGAAAGGAUAAAUUUGGAGAGGAAAUGAAGAAGAAUGCAGCCGUUGCAGGCGUUAAUGUAGGUCUACUUUUUAUAUCCUUUUUUGUAUAGCAUUCUCUUUACACUGACAUGGUUAAAUAUCUUUAUAAAACCUCAGUGGAAUGUGUAUAAUUAACUCACUUGUAACACUGUUCCCUAAAAAGGUGGAAUUUGUCAUUUAAUGAAUCAACUUUUCCUCUUGGAUGUUUGACCUAGUGGGUACACGAAGCACUACUUCUUAUUCUGAGUAAAGCUAACAUUUUUUUCUUAUAAUUCCAUGCCAUGGAUUUAAGUUGUGGUGGCCCAGACCUGGAAGUACUGGUUGGCCGCUGGAAAAAUUGAUGCUGAUGUUUUAACAUCUGUCAACAACACUAAAGGGAACAAAUAAAGGGGGAAAGAAGGAAAGUGAUAUUUUCUGAGAAAUUGAGAAAUUAACCUUCUCAUGACUGGAUCUGAUUUGGUCUACCAAUUCCUUAAUUUUUUUCAAAGAAAUAGAGAAUUAGAGAAAUAAAUUUUUGCUAAGCUUUUCUAUGGCCAAUGGUUGCAUUAUCUUGUUGAGCUUGUUGGGAGGAAUUAAAGCAAUAGCAUCCAUGAGCAGGAAUUAAACUAUCGUGUAUCCAUUAAGUUUGAUACAGUUUGUGUCAGUUGAAGUUGGUCCAUUUUGUUUCACAGCUUAGUAUUGUUUAUUCGAGAAAUUUCUUAAACAAGGAAGUAUUACAGAAAAAUGUGCAUCCUAAGUUUUGUAUGUUGAUUAAAAUGAUACACGAUAGUUGAUGAGUCGAACUCGCCAACACUUUAAACAAUCUUAAAUGCUAUUUUUCCCUUGAUCAAACAGGCUCAUUAUUAUGAGGAUGAAACAGCCCUGACUGGUACAUGUGCUGUAUGUGUUGUUGGUGGUGAAAGGUAAGUUUGCUGACGAUCAUUCUUUCCUUAUUUUUGUUUAAUUUUCUUGCUGAUAAAUAAUUACUUCCAAAUGUUUGUUAUCAAAUUUUACUGUAUAAAUACAUAAUUUCUUUGUAUCUUAAGUUUUGGAUUCAAAAAGUUUAUAAUCAUAAAAGCGAUGGAUAUAGCAAUUGUUCCUGUAGACGCAAUCUGAAAUAUAGUUUUUUGAAUAAACUGAAAUAUAAUUGUAUGAGAUCAUUCAAGUAAACCUAGAGAAUAAAGGUAUGGUCCUGCAGACAGGGAUACCAGCCUGCAUUAAGGUGAAUAAAGUUGGUUAAGUUGUGAAAUAAUAAAAUCUGAGUGUGGAUAUCCAUAGUCAAGCAACUUUGGUUAUUUUCAUAGUUCAUUUUUUCUUUUCCUUUGAAUUUUAGUAUAAGAGGCAAGGAAUAUUUGUUAUUCAUUUAUGAUAUGAUGCAAGUGAAAAUGAAUUUCAUGAUCACUUAUCUUAGUGAAACAUGGGAUCAUUAACCCAUUUGUGGUUUUCUGACCACUUUGAGACAUUUGUUCAUCUAGACAGUUUUUAUAAUCAUUCCUGCCAUAUUUUAUUGUGGUUAGCAUUUAAUUUUCUUGCUGUAAGUCCUAGAAUCCCGCAUUUCUGUCACAAACAAAGUGGUCGCAGAUAUGUCAGCUUUCUUGCAAAAAAGUGUUGUUGUCUAUAACCAGACCCUGUUAUGUAAGAUAUGUACAUCUAAACAUUGGACUUCUUUUGAAAUAAAAGAAAUAAUAUUUGCAGCUUCUUUUGUCAAGUUCCAUAACUAAAUCUUUUGUAGAUUAGUAUCAUGAAAAUAAGCUUUCUUGUUACCUAACCGCAAUUGCUAAAUCUUUCUGUUUCUAUUCUCCUCAUCUGAGGCUGUUCAUUGUAAGAUCAUCUUGAUUUAGCAGGAUAUCCAUCUGUUUCAUUGAAUUUGAUCCAUUUAUUUCAUUUUGUUGUAUUGAUCAUUUGCCAUAUUUUUCUUUCAUUUAUGAGCAGGUCCCUAGUUGCUAACUUAUCUGCAGCAAACUGCUAUAAAAUUGAUCAUCUGAAGAGACCAGAAAACUGGCAAUUAGGUAACAUAAUUACAUUGUCCUUCUUUGGUUCAAUUUUUUAUUCCGAGCAUAAGUUCUUAAUAAAAAUGUAAUAAGGGUGACAAGCUUGUUGUUAUUGAGAAAUUAGGCCUUGAUAUUGAUAUUCCUAGUUGUAAUGUGGCUAAAGUAUUUGGUCACUUUCUAUUUUGUUAUAUUAGAGGGUAUACUGCCUAAAAACAAACUUGGCAUUUAUCUGAUACAUGAUGUUUUCAAGGAUGUGGCAUUCUUGUUGCAUCUAAAAGAAGCUAUAUCAAGAAGAUUUUUGGUAAAUGGUGACCGUCAUUGUUGCAUCAAUUGUCCAAGAAGAGGAGACAUUCCUGUAGGUCCUUGUACAGUUUCACAUUUAUGGACAAGUUUUGUGACAAAAUGUUGGGGAGCUUUCUGGUUUGCAAUCUAUAUGUUAUUAUGUUUUGAAGUUUCCAAGGAAGAUAAUGCUGAUGGACUUUUCAGUUGCACAGAUAAGUAGACGAAGAAAACAAAGUAAUACGGUUGUGCCGAUGAAAAAAGUGAAGGAAUAUGGAUAGAAUAUAAAUCCAAUAGAAAAUUGAUGUAGAACAAGGUAGAGAAAUAGAGAGAGUAAAAGAGGAAUAAGAUUAGAGAUUAAAGAGGAGAUAGAGAGAGGAAUGAGAUUAGAGAGGAGAGAGAGACUAGAAGAGAGAAGAUGUAUUUUUUUUCAUUUAAAUUUAAACUCAUCCAUUGACAAACUCCAAUAUUUAUAGGGGUUUAGAAUCUUAGUAUAAACAAUGAAGACAAUGAUUCCUAAGAGUAAUCUCCUAGAGAAAGAAUUAGGAUGCAUUUAAGAAAUCCAAAUUGCGACUUUUAAGAUAAAUAGUAAAUGAGUGCACUUAAUAUAAAAGAAGUCCCUAGAAAAACCAAAAAGACAUUUCAAUUUGCAAAACAACUCUUAGAAUUUCUAGGCCAACUAAUUGAUAACUUCUUAGUUAUUUCUUUACCUAAAAUAAUUUUUUUUGAAAUUCUUUGUAAAGCUAAUGGUUCUCUAUCAUUCUUCCUCAGUGGAAAACAAUGCAACCCCGGAGAGUGAUCUGUAAGGUAUUGGUUCAAUAAAUUUGGUGCACAAUCAUAAAGUUCCUCCAAAGUAAUCCAAGACUCCAAGUGACAUCAAAAGUUGAAGAAUCAUGCCACUUGACAAGAAAGUGUUGAGUAAUGCUAGUAACAGACAUAACAAGGUGGUCAUUAAGAAUGACCUCUACGUCAUCCUUGUAUUGUGAGAGAAUUGGUGUUUUGGAAUGAUUGUCACCUGUAGAAACACAAAUGGACAGACAAGGAGGCUCGAAAGUACCAUAAUAUAGAGUUAAAUCCUCCACAUUGAAAACUGGACUAAUAUUUAAGUCUGAAGGCAAAUCGAGCAUAUAUGUAUUAGAUCCCGGUUUUUGGAUAAUGGGGAAAAGAUGAAUGGCUCGAACAUGCAAAUUUUUGAAUGAUUUUUUAGAGAAUUUCUUAGGGUGAACACGAACUAAGAUAUAAUCGCCAACUUGAAACUUUUGACUUUUAUGAUGUGCAUUAGCAACAAGUUUGUAACUUUCGUUACUUAGGGCAAUUUUACAUCGAAUUUCAGCAUACAAAUCAUGAAUAUGUUUAGCGAAGGAGUGAGCUAGUUAUGAGGCAUGAUAGUCAAGUGAAAGGGGUGCAAGGUCAAUGAGGGUACGAGGAAUAUAGCUGAGGGCAGUUUAAAAUGGGCUUUUUUUGAUGGAGCGGUCGAUUGAGUUAUUAUAUAUAAAUUCUGCAAUAGGUAAGGUUAAGACCUAGUUUCUAGGUUUCUCCCCAACUAAACAUCUAAGAAGAUUUUUUAAGAAACGAUCAACAACCUCAGUUUGACCUUUAGUCUGGGGUGAAAAGUUGAAAAGAAUUUCAUUGUUGUGCCAAAUAGUUUCCACAAAGUUUUACAAAAGUAGCUAACAAAUUUCACAUCCCUAUUGGACACCAUGAUUAAGGGAAAACCAUGUAAUAUAACUACUUCUCGAAAGAACAAUUUAGCAAUGUGCGAGGCAUCAUUGGUCUUGUUACAUAGGAUAAAGUGGGUCAUUUUUGAAAAUCGAUCAACAAGAAUCAAAAUAGAGUCAUGACCACAGGCUAUUUUGGAAAGUCCAAGGAUAAAAUCUAAACUCACAUCUUGCCAUGGUGAAUGCAGAAUAGGCAAUGUGGUGUAUAGGCUAGUAUCGUGGUUGCGAGUUUUGGCAAUUUGACAGGUGCAACACUACGACACCACUUGAGCAACAUCUCACUUUAAGGAAGGCUAGUAAAAUCUAUCCUUGACCAAUACAAUGGUCUUAUCUCGACCUUAAUGACUUGCUAAACCAUCGGAGUGCAUUUCCUAAACGAGGAAGUCUCAAAGGGGGGAUUGAAUAACACACAAUUUAGUAGAUCGAAAAAGGUAACCAUCCCUAAGAAUGAAGUUUGUAUGUUUAUGAUGGUUUCCAUCUUGGACUUUUUGAUAUAUGUGACUAAAGUUUAGACAUUGGGUAUACUCUUCUUUUAAUUGCUUAAAUCCUAUGACAUUGACACUCGUGAUAGAUAGGAGUAUAGAAAUUCUAUUGAGAGCAUCAACAGCUUUGUUUUGAGUGCUAAAACAAUGCUAUAGUUUUAGCUAAAGGGGAGAGAGAGAGUGAUAAAUAGGAAAAAAAAAAAAAAAAAAAAAAAGGAAGAAAACAUGGGGAGAAGCGAUGAAAACCAUGAUCUAAUGAAAUAUACGAAUUUUCUUUUCAACAAAAAAAUUAGUAAAGAUUUUGAAAAUUUACCCGACACUAAGAGUUAUGUGGUCCACCAAUUUUGUAGGGACAAUCACCCCAAAGUCCAACUGCACACACUAGGGAUUGACAUUGGAGGUGCAAGGACCCCAAAGUCCAACUGCACACACUACCCAAUGUAUAAGAUUAGAUAAUUCUACUACUAUUUGGGGUUAAGUAUUUUGGGUACAUGAUUUUAUUUUAUCAAAUAGUUUUGGGUUCAUUAACUCUCUCCAGACCUUGCAUUGGCAAGACCCUUGUACUGAGUACGUCCAUUUUUUUUUUAAUUUUGGGUACAUUAUUUUAGACUCAUUAUGUUUUGACUUUUGAUUGUAUUAAUUGGUAUCAAAGUAAAUGUAUUACUAGAUAUCAUGAGAGCAUACAUAGAAAAGAAUUAUCCGUGUGCGGGAUUAGAAGUACAUCACAAUAUAGAGCUACGACUCUGUUCGGCAUUACACAUGUUGCCGGUGCUAUGUGCUAAGCCUUUGAGUUUUGAUGAGCAUGCCAAAUGAUGGGAAAAUUUGUCAAGAGUGGGAGGAUGUUAUGCCGGUUUAUAUGGCUAAAUGAAUCUACUAUCGUUAAGUUGGGUUUAAGCAUUUUUCUCAUCAAGUGAUUUUAGACAUCAAAUUAACAAUUAGUUUUUAUAUUGGUCUAGAUUGUAACAUUUAUCAAAUGUGUGGAUCUUCUCUCAUAACAAAGAUCAAUUUCAUAAUGCAUUGUCUUUUUCAAAGAUGUAAAUAUGGUUCUAAAAUUUGAUACUAGUAGUUGGUCAGACUAGUAUUAGUACUAAGAUACUGAGCAAUAUACUGACCUAUUUUCCCAAAUUACUGAAAAAUAAAAAUUAUAAAAUAACAGUAUCUGACUCAUUGAGCUGUAUGUUCUAUUGGUGGUUCUCGAUUGGACUGGUGAACAUCGGUUGGUACGUACUAAUCCUAUUGGCUCUUUAAAAUAAAGACUAUUCAUAGAUUACAGUAAAAUUGGAUAUGGUUGAAAAACUGCCACAUUUUUGUCACAGAUUAUUUUUUUUACUGAUUUCUGAAAUUCAAAUUGAGAAUGCUGAAGUUAUCAAACUGGGUUUUCUUUGGUCUAACUAUUAAGUUGUAUGCAAUUUGACAGUUGAAAAGGCAAAGUACAUUUACAUAGCUGGCUUUUUCCUAACGGUGUCUCCUGAUUCCAUCCAACUUGUAGCUGAGCAUGCUGCUGCAAAGAAUAAGGUAUAACUGUAUGAGUUCUUCUUGACUUAAACCUUUUACUUUUUCCACUUGUGGGAUUUUGUUCCAAUUCUAUGUAACUUGCAGGUCUUUAUGAUGAACCUCUCUGCUCCUUUUAUCUGUGAAUUCUUCCGAGAUGCCCAGGACAAAGCUCUGCAGUGAGUGUUCUAUUUUCUUCUCCUUUGUACUCUCAAAAGGUAUUUCUAAACCACAUUGUUCACUGAUAAUAAUUUUCUAUUUCAUCCUUUUACAAAAUAGUGGCUUUUAUCAACCUACAAGUCUUUCUGUUUAAUUGUGGUCAUGGCAGGAAUGGCUAAAGGCAACUACCCGCUUUUCUAUUUUAUUUGGCCUCACUUUAUUAAUAUUCAACUUACAUGAAAAAUAUUCGCAAUCUCAGUUAUGUGGAUUUUGUCUUUGGUAAUGAAACCGAAGCGAGGACCUUUGCAAGAGUCCAUGGAUGGGAGGUAAUUGUCUUCCCUCCCUAUUGUAUGUAACAGCUUGUUGUAUUAGACUUUCUGACCGGUUAUUAUGAUGCUUAGACAGGAAAUGUUGAGGAGAUUGCAGUAAAGAUCUCAGCUCUGCCCAAGGCAUCAAAGACACAUAACAGAAUUACUGUCAUCACACAGGGUUGUGAUCCAGUUGUUGUUGCUGCUGAUGGAAAGGUGAGUCUGGUUAGGUUUUUCUGUAUGACCUUUCCAUGAACUUCAAAUGACUAAAGGAUUUAUAUGAUGAAACACCAUGUUUGCAUCUCUCAUAUACUAUCGAGUUACAAAUAAGUUAACAAGCUUCAGAAUAGGCUCUGUUUCUCAUGAUGACACUUUUGGUAUUACUGUAGACAUCUUGAUACACUUUGUAACAGACUUCCAUCUAUUUUCUAUUUUAACCCUUAAAAGAUUCCAGAACUUCUUCCGGGACUUCCUUGUAUCUUACUGAGACAUGUCCGUUUCAUUCACUGGUUCUUUCUUGCUUGUUGCAACUUCCAUGAAUUUUUUCUGAUAUAGUCAUCCCUUGGUUUAUUCUUUUGACUGCUAGGAACAGACAUCAUUUUUAUCUCUCACUUUGAUGUUGAUUUUUCUUUCUCAUAUCUCCCCAUUGAGGACAUAUUGUGUCAUCUAAUUUUGUCUUACUGGUGUUGCAAAAAAUAUCUUUACAAAUUACUCGACAUACAUAAUAUGAAGGGAAAUUUAAUUAUGCUUAGCCUUAUGGUAUUUUGCCUGCAAUUUGUAGUUUGAAUCACAAAUUACUGAUAGACUUUUUUGAUCAUUGCUUUAUCUGAGCAAACUGAUGUGUAUCUUUUUCAUGGAACCUUGGCAUCAGGUGAGAUUGUUCCCUGUUAUCUUGUUACCAAAAGAAAAGCUUGUCGAUACCAAUGGCGCAGGUACUUCAAAGCUAUUGUUGUUGUUAACUAAUGACAAAUUUCUAAUCGGUGUCCAACUUGAAGAGCUUAUGGCACAACACCAUUGGGAUAUUAUUUAGGAUUUAUUAGCAUAAGUUGUGCGUUAGAAUUCUCGGUUCUUCUGUAUCAUUCUACAUUGGUCCAUUAUUGCCACUGUUCGACUUAUUGGCCAUGCACUUCUUAAUGAAGGUGAUGCAUUUGUUGGAGGAUUUCUGUCUCAACUGGUCCAAGAGAAGAGCAUAGAUGACUGUGUAAAAGCUGGGUGUUAUGCGGCAAAUGUCAUAAUCCAAAGGUCAGGCUGCACCUACCCAGAGAAGCCAGAUUUCCGGUAAAAAGAAAACCACGAUGUCACGGUGAGGAUUUGUCAAGAUCAGGCCAUCUUAUCCUUCAUAUUAAUUAGCCAUUUGCUGCUACGUUGUCUCUUCAAUGUUUUGGGGCUUUUCCACUUGAGAAAGUAUUACUUUCAACAUCGCAUGGUGUAGGUGGAUUUCUCCAAAUGUUUACUCGUGAAUUGUUGCUGUGAGAACUACUUUGCCACAAAGGAUGCUGCUCAUGUUACUGGCGUUGGAAAACAUCCAUCGGGACCUCAACAUGUUAUUGGAGAUCUAAUUUGCCCGUGCACCUUAUUGGCAUUGCAUAAGAGACUUCCUCAUCUAUCAUCUUGGUUGCAUGUUGUUUGAGUAAUCUAUUAUGCUAACUCAUCUAUCAUCUUGGUUGCAUGUUGUUUGAGUAAUCUAUUAUGCUAAACAUUCCAAUUAAAAUCUAAACUGUCGUAUAUAAGGGUUAGUAUAGCUUGCCUUUUGAUGAUAUUAUUGAAUCGUAAAACUUUUGUAGAUCUGCACAAAAUUAUUAGUUCUUUCUUAUCUUUCUUACCUUUUACAGUAUAAUGAUAGUAUUGGAGAUUGAUGACAUGAGAGUCUUUCCUAAUAAUUUUUCAAGAUUGGCAGGGCAUUAAUUUUCCAAGAAUCUAAUUAAAUCUCUAAUUUUUUUUAAUCUUAAGUUAUAGGGUAACGAAAUCACAUGUAUCGUCCUCAUGAUCCAUUGCAUCUAACUUCUCAUUUACUUUAAGGUUUUUCUGUAGGAGUGAUUGUUUUAAAAUAGGAAGAUAUAGUUGAGAAACCUUGUGCCAGUAUCAGAACCGAUGUUCGAUUUCCUAAAACCUGAAACUGGCAGUUCCAAUUUCGAUUCCGGCUCUGUUGACUUCUGGUCUAGUUCGAAUCAUUAUCUUUUUAAUUAAAAUUUUAUUUAAAAAUAUUAAAAUAUUUAUAAUUUUAUUUCUAAAAUUUGAAAAUAAAAAUGAAUGUAUAAUUACAAUGAUUGUACUUAUAUAAAAAAAAUUAAUAUAAAAAUGAGUAAAAUUAUUUAAAAAAAUUAUUUGCUUUCCGUAUCGAAUGUUUCGAUCAUCCCUUCAGUUAUGUCGAAUAGGCAAAUGUUAUCUUCACAUAUUAUCUUCACAUAUAUGUUUGAGGUUUAACUGAUUUGAACAUCAGGAGAAUUUUCAUUUAAGAUGCAUCCUCUCAUGUUGAAAGCUUACUCCACAAUUACUAUUGACAUCGGAGUUACUAGUAUUUGCAUUACAAUCAUCACAAAAUUAGAAACUCUAUACCUAUAAUAUUAUCACCAAACUCAAAAAAAAAAAUUGUUUGAUAUAUACCGAGCUCACAGUUUGAGCUUGAUUUAUUUUGUCUUUGUAAUAAUAAUUUUCUUCCCUAUAAAUUUUACUACCCUAAUAAUUUGAUCCCUAAAUGGAGAAGUUUGGAGAUAGUUUGUUGUCCAUUAAGGUUACCGAUAUAAUGGUCAUAUAAGUUAAUGACCAUUUUUUUUAUUUCUAUAGUUUUAUUAUUAAUACCAACUUAUACUCCUAAACUUUCAUAAUAAAUAUUAAUUAUUAUCAUUAUAGUCAUAUAUAAAUUAUUAUCAUAUUGAUAUUCUUCUAAAGCACCGUCAAUAUUAAUAUAAAUAAAAAAAAUGAACAAUAGGAUAAUAAACACCAAAUAAAGUAUAGACAGCAUUAUUAAAUAGUUCUAAAUUUUUUUUACAAAGAUUCCAAUAUUAUGGAUAUAAACUAACUUAUUUAACAUUAUUUAUAAUAAAAGUAUAUAAUACUCUUUUAUACUUCAAAGAUUCUGUAAGUAAUUCAUAUAUAGAACUCCAUCGGAUAAGAACAUUCAUAAGAAAUCUUUUGGGUCUAUUACUAUUUAAUUUGUAAAAUCUAACUUGCUCUUUCAUUACAAAAAAUAAGAAAGCUUUAUGAUUUUUUUUUUAAAUGAUAUUAGUAAGGUACCCAAAAAUUUACGUUUGUUUUUGUUUCAUGCCAACUUGUGUUAAAUAUUUCUUCUCGAUAUGCUUAAGAAAAGUUUCAUAUCCUCUUUUUUCUUUGAAUUUAAAAUUUUGAUCACAGUAAUUAUAUAUGACAUGAAAGGAGUUAUAUCUUCUUAAAGUGUAGUUUGAAAAUGUCUGACUUUGUUUAGGUUGCCAUAUCGAAUUUCUCUUAUUCUGCUUGAUGCUGAUGUAUUGGCUUUCUUGGGUUGCUACUAUCAAACUUUCAAAAGGCAAUGGCUCAGUAGUAGUGGCAUCGGAAUCAGGAAGAGAGCCUAAGAGAGAUCAUCUGAGCUCCUUUUGAAGCAGUGGCAUCGGCGGAAUCAGGAAGAGAGCUUAAGAGAAGUAGUGGCAUCGGCGGAAUCAGGAAGAGAGCUUAAGAGAGAGCAUUUGAGCUCCUUUUGAAGCAGUCGCAUCGGCGGAAUCAGGAAGAGAGCUUAAGAGAGAGCAUAUGAGCUCCUUUUGAAGUAGUGGCAUCGGCGGAAUCAGGAAGAGAGCUUAAGAGAGAGAAUAUGAGCUCCUUUUGAAGCAGUGGCAUCGGCGGAAUCAGGAAGAGAGCUUAAGAGAAGUAGUGGCAUCGGCGGAAUCAGGAAGGGAGCUUAAGAGAGAGCAUAUGAGCUCCUUUUGAAGCAGUGGCAUCGGCGGAAUCAGGAAGAGAGCUUAAGAGAAGUAGUGGCAUCGGCGGAAUCAAGAAGAGAGCUUAAGAGAGAGCGUAUGAGUUCCUUUUGAAGUAGUGGCAUCGGCGGAAUCAGGAAGAGAGCUUAAGAGAAGUAGUGGCAUCGGCGGAAUCAGGAAAAGAGCUUAAGAGAGAGCAUAUGAGCUCCUUUUGAAGUAGUGGCAUCGGCGGAAUCGGGAAGAGAACUUAAGAGCGAGCAUAUGAGAGCUAAAUAGUAUAUUACGAGGCUCCCUUUGAACUGGUGGCCUCCACUUAUCAUCGGAAUCGGGAAAAGAGCUUAAUAAGUUGGAGCUAAAUAGUAUAUUAUGAAUAAUAUAUUAUGAAUAAUUAACAAAAUGAGUAGGUUUGAUAGGAUAUUUAUAAGGUUUUCAGAUAUUUUCCUUUCCUAAAAUCAUCCAAAACGUUAUUUGAUUAGAAAGGACAAAUUUUAUUUAUUUUUUUAAUAUUAUAUUAUAUAAUAUUUAUUUAUUUUUUUAUAAAAUAACUUAAAUAUCUUUGAAAAUAACCACUAUAUGAUUGUUGGAAGGGGCGAACCGAUCAUUUGCCCCUCCUUCCUCUCCGGAUUUUGUUGAGUCAGGCAUCGAUCGUUAGGUCGACCGUUCGAGCCUCAACGGUUGGGUCAAGUUCGACGUGGAUCGAUCUAAUUUUAUCAUGUACUCAUCUUAUCUGCUAUCGAACAGUCAACACUUUUUUAUACUUCCAUGCGGUCAAAUAGAUACUUCUUAGGAGAAGUUAGUCCCCAUCUCUUCCAAAAAGUAACGAAUACUUCCACAUCCGGAGAAAAAGAAAAAAAAAGAUUAUUAUUUUUUAUAAUUUUCCGAAUCCAAGAUUACGAGUGCUGCGAGCUACCAAACACUUGCUACUUACGGACGAAGAAAGAUUGGCUGUCGAACGUACACGCUCGAUUCGUCCAUCUCAAUUGGAUGAGCAAUUUUUGCCGUGGAUUAGACACGACAAAAGCUGGAGGUCCGAAGAUUUAACGAGCGCUCCGGAGAUCUACCAUAGUCGACGGCUAACUCGUGAGCCAGUAGAUUUAGUUACCUAGGGAUAAAGAAAACCGAGAAACAGAGACAUGUAGCAUGAGGUCUCGUUUGACAUCGAGACAGAUAGACACUAUGAAACUGUAGACAGUCCCCUUGAUAUUGUUUGUUAAUUUCAGAUUGUAUUAUUGUGUAUCUGUGAGGACCCAAAAGGGGUGUGAAUAGAGAGUAUAGAGAACAAAGAAAAAUGUAAUACUAACAUGUUGAUCAAAUAUCAUAGUGAAUUAAUUAUGCAUAUGAUAUGUGAGUCAAAUAAUAAUAAUAAAUAAGAGUAUAAAAUUAUUGGAAUAAUUAGGGAUCGACGUAUGCAAUAUGAUUUCAUGUAAUAUUAUCCAUAAAUAUAAUUAAUCAUGCAUACGUACUUUAUCCGACAUCCCUACCGCAAAGGAUCAUAUAAUAAGUCAUAUCACAUGCACUAAUGCAACGUCAUACAUGCCAAAUCCAAUUAUUCAUGUGCAUCAUCAAUAGCAAAUAGAGAUACAUUACUCUAACGAAAUGUAGUAGAUAAAUAGAACCCAUAUCAUACUCUCACUAACAAAUAAAGUAUUAUCUCUCAUCAAUCUAAUAAAGACACGUUUCUCCCAACAACAAAUAAAGAAAUCAUCUAUCUAUCAUAGUUGAUAAUCCAUUAAUCCCCAAGAGAAUCACCCUCCAGUAUACUAGAUCUCUUACAAUUGACAGAGUUUAUUUAUAUUUUCUUUUAUCAAAUCAAAAUCACAUGUCAUAACAUUAUCAUACCAUCGCAUGAUCGUAUCAUCAUAUCGAUUAGUCAAACACAAAAUCAUUAGACAGUAGAUCACAUUAGGAGGAUGAUAUAGGGGAUUCGAUCCAAUUAUCUAUCACAUCUAUAGAUAAAUUUUUGUAUAUCAAAAAUGUCUCAAGAGUAUCACGAUGAAUGCAUAUGUGGUAUCCGACAUAUGAGACAAGCCAAUGAUCGCUCUACACCAAUAUAGCGAACUUAUGGGAAUAAUUAAGAAUUGCAUAAUUAAUUUUUGAUCCACUUUUACAAACAUAUUUUUUAGAUGACCAAUAAUAUUCAAAAGGAUAAUUCAAAAAUAAUUUUGAUAGUCAAAAUCUUAAUUUUCAUAUAAUGUCCUAAGACAUCCCACAUUUGAAUAUCAAGAUCGGAUUGAUUAGAUUAAACAUACAUAACUUAAUUUUCAUAUAUUUCUAGGUGCUGGAUGUACGAGUAGAUCAUCCACAAAUUCAUAUAUGUAAAUAAUAUAUGCAUUUGUAGAUGAUCUACUUUCAUUUAAUAUCUUAAAUUAACAUAACUAAGUUUGUAGGAUAGAUCCAAUAGUAAGGUCGUGGGACAGAAUCAACCCCACAUCGGUCAUCAUACUUUCUUUCUCUCUCUUUUUUUUAUUAAUUAAUUAAUUAUAAUGUUACAUUAUUGAUCUUAGAAAAUUAUUAUGAAAAAAAGAAAAAAAAAAAAAAGGGUCAAGAGAGAUCAUCACCACAUCUUUCUUUAUAAAUUUUUAUCAAUCUAUCAUACGUAUUAAAUUGAUUCUCUAAUCAAGAUUAAAUAUCUCUCCGCCACCUUUCUUCGCCUUUCGUCUCACUCCCUUCUUAUGGAGCAUGCUUGGGGACGAAAAUGAAGGUGAGCACACCCCACCGCACAAUCUUGUCUUCCGCUGGUCUUUCCAUCGCUUUAAACCAGGGAACGCAUGCGUGUCAGUUGUUGCUGACUCACCAGAGAAAGAUGGCCGGUGUCACAAUAUAACAAUAUAUUAAUUAUUAGGAUGAGUGUCAAAUAAGUGGCACGAGAAGCAAAGUUCAGAUUGCAAGAGGUGUAAAAAUAAAAUCUAUAAUUAUAUUAUAUCUGAAAUGUAAAAAUAACUUGUAUGUCGGAAUUGAAAUCAAGUGUAUAAAUCUAAUUAUUACGAUACAUACCUUUUGAUGUCAUCUCUUCAGAGAAACUCGUUUGAUCUACUAAGCACCGUUUGUGUGAUCCAAGAUUGGAUCCAAGAUUGUUAGCAUCGUCACCGUCUGCAAGGAGUGCAAGGAGUAGAUCUUUUCUCCUAUCUCUUCCUAUCCUUAGAUUGAUGGAUUCGAGGGAGAAACUGAAAUCCCUCAACGGAGAGAUGCGUCUAUACGUCCAACACUCUCUUAACCCCCUAGAGGUCUUGUCCUUUUAUAGGCGAGAGCAGAGGGUCUACGAUAAGAGUUCCGUAAGUGGACUAAUAUAUUGGCUAAAAUAUUUCAACGGAACCCAAUUAAUUAUUAUAUUAUAUAUUUUAUUCAAUUAUAAAAGGAUCACAAAAACCUAACAAGAGUUUCGUCCAACGUGAUAAGCACAUUCAAAAGACACUUUCAGAAUCUUAUAAAAGUGACAAACCAGGUAAUGGUUAAAGCCUAAGUGUAAAGCAUCACAAAGAGUUUCGCUUUGAACCAGCUUUAGGAAGGAACCACCCGCCACAAAGGCAGCAUUUCAUGUUGGGAGGAGGGCUAGAUACUGUAGGCACCACUAAACUAAGAUUUCCCAUGAUAGGUGUAGAUUUCUCCUACGUGUUCUGUUAAAAAAAAACCUCUCUCCUUGUGUAUAAACAGAGAGUACCCUAUCAAACACAUAUAUCUUUCUUCGUUUCAUUCUUAUUCUUAACAACAACAAAAGAUGAAAAAUAUAUUCUAAGCAUUUGUAUAUCCCAACCAUUAUCAAUAAUAAGAAAAAAAACCAAAAGACCGACUCGAAGUUCACAGAGCGAAAGAUCAUAUAAGGACCAUCCUAAUUCGUAAAGGGCCAAAAACAAAAAAUACAGGUGAAGGACUCACUACGAAUCAACUUACUGAAGCCCCUGCAAUAUUCGGCACGAUAGUGGAGACUCCUACGACAUCCGGAUGCAUUUCCACGAGACGACAAGGGACUUCUAUAGCCGCAUCCUUUCUAAUACGUGGUGCUUUUCCACUAGAAGACGUCGAUCGCGGGUCCAGUUUGCCAAGCUUGCCGUCAAGAUCUCGACCCACAGAAGAUUCUUUGAGCAAUGGCGUAAAACCUCCUCUCCUUCCUACGUAUAUAUAAGUCGUACAUAAACCUCCUCUUCCUGCUCCCUAUCAGGCGCUACGAUAGUACAGGAUGCAGAAUGCCAGAGUUUCUCGUGAAGAAACAAUGAGCACCAUUCGAGAGUCCUCACACGUCUUAUGCGAACAACUCUCUCGUCGUUCCCACCUCCAAUCCGAGUGCGAUUACGUCCAUCACCUCUAUACUAUGGCUUCGUCGUCGACUGUCAUCACUACCACCACCACCACGGCCUGCUCCUGCCGACUUCGACGCGGCCGUAGUAGGAGAUGGAUCAUAAAUAAACUCCUGGAGUUCGCCCUUCAGUGCGGGCUCGCCCUCCUUGGCCCCUUCUUCAUAAAAAAUGCAGCUCAUGAGGACUCGGCUAUAUCACCACCGCCAUGGACUGUGGCUGUGCUCGGCAUCUCUAUCCUCGUGACGCUCUGCGCCGGCAUCGGUAGCGUCGCUCUACGAGGUUUGCGUGGACCGCCGUCGUUCCUCCCUGAUUUCCUCCACUUCGUCACGUACUUCUCGGCCAUGUCGGCGUUCGCUUCUUUUGUUUCCACGGCGCUGGGGGGGCGAUGCUGGUGGAUCUCCUACGCGUUCGCUUGUUUCCCUUUGGCUUGGGUCUUCCACCAUCUGCUCCUACGAUGGCGGCUUCGCCGAAGAAGUUGAUGUAAAGAAGCGAUCGUUCCACUGAAAACUGGUAGGCCAGUGCAGAAUCUCCUCGUCAACCACGUAUUAAUAGGUUGUACUACAAACGGACGGCUGUUGUUAGUUCGGGCUUGACUGAACCAACCCUCCAAGUACUACAGGACCGCGUGGUUCCUUUCCAUUUGCGCUUAAUGUCAUAAAACAUAUGUACAACCCUACAAAUUUACAUAGCUUUGUCUUAUUGGAGUAAUAAUUUUUGCUAUGGGGGGAGAGAGAGCGAGAGAGAGAGAGACUCGACUAGGGUUUCCCUUUCCGGUUUCUGUGGCCGCCGGUUAUCCCUCGCCGGCGGCAACGCCAUCCUCACGAGCCUCCCUUGGCGCUGUGUCGCUGCCUCUUCCCUCCCCUGCGGGCCCCACGGGACAUGGUCUCCCUCGCCAUGAAGCUGUUGGCAUCCGGCCGAUCGCGUUUCGUGCUGCUGGCCCUGUCGUUGGCGCUGGGGUGCGGUGCGGCUCGGCUUCAAGGCUGCUCCCGUCCCACUCGCUGCCGAGGCGUUCUGGGCCGGCGGACACUCGCUCCCUUUCUAGUCUCCCGCGAUUGGUCGGCCUCGGAUCACGUCUCCGUUGGACGCCCCCUCGCCUGUGUUGGCCGGCGUCCGUCCUGCUCCGUCGGUGGCCGCCGAUCCAUUGCUGUCGGUUCUGAUCCGGCGGCGUCUCUGGCCUUCGGAUCCUUUCCGCUGGCAUCUCCUUCCGGAUCGCAGGUGGUCACGGCCUCCUCCGCUCCUGGCGCUACAUGAUGCAAAUUCGAGCCUCCGUGGGGAUGCGAUGCUGUCGUGUCGGCUUCGGCACCGAUCGGUCUCCCCUUCCGGCAGUGUCUCCUUUCUAGCGGGGUUGUCUUCUCCCGUGGGACCAGCAUCGGGGGACCCACUGCCACCGACUUCCCCGAUUGCUCUGGCUCUCGAGAGAUUGCUUCCUUCUCCGGCGAGCUUCGGAUCUUCGCUCACCGUCGGCUCCUUCCCCUCGGUGGCUUGUGCCGGUGUCGCUUCUCCGGCUGUGGAUCCUGAACCGCCGGAGUACGAUUGGAGAUCGAUGAUGUGCUCAUUUUGUAAUCUCUUUGGAUAUGCUACCAAGAAGUAUGUAUGAGAGACACACUUGUAGAGAAAUCCCGAAACAGCUACUUUGUCGGUUGUAGAUAGAUACACACUAUGUCGAAGGCGAUUCCCUCACUACCUGUGUGUCGGUUUUCUUAUGGUACUAAUUUCUGUGCCAAUUGUGUCAAAGGCCGGAAGGAAUAGAAGCUGAUCCAUCAUUUCUGUCCAGGUUACUGUAACGAAUAUGUUCCUUCGGGAUUUGAUGUUUCUUCGUCCAGUUGGUACAGUUAUUUUAGCUAUAAACAAGGCAUCGUGACGACCGAGGUGUCAGCACGACUUAACUCUUUCGGAGUGCGUAAGAUCAUUAAUAUGGUCUUUGAGUCGGAGGGUGUUAACCCGAGAUUUGAUUGAGGGGGUGUAGGCCUCGUUCUCGCAAGUGGAGGUUGAAGAUGAAUCCUUUAGCUCUCCAAUUCUCCGUUUAAGUGCUUGAACAUAGAUCGUAAUCGAAAGGGGGAUUCCUUACUUAGAUCCCUUCGGUGCUUAUGUUAGGUUGGCUUUUUUAAUAGCAUGUGGAUCUUUUAAGACCCACGUUUCUCUUGUGCGAGGAAAGAGGGGGCAUAAUAAUAUCGGUCUUUGUCAUUCUCACCCACAACCUUCACACAAAUGGGAGAGUUCAAUAAAAUCGCCAUAGUUGCCCGUUGCAUAGGAGAAGAGGUGAUAGAUUUGAUGAGGCUAAAGAUGGAGGCUACUAUAGGUCCAAUGAGAUAGAGGAAAGGGAAGACGAUGGUAAAGGUAGCAUUAGGGUAAUGUAGGAUGAUGCGAGUCCGAUAGGAGCUAAGGGCAAAUUGAUCAUUUUAAAAAAUAUUUUACGAGAAUUUCUUAAAGAUAAAGAGCUUCUUCAAAAACUCAUCAUAUUUUAUUUGAUUAAUUUUUUUAUCAAAAUAAUUUAUGAUUUACAUAGUUUUAUUUUUGUCGAUGGUAUACUUAAUUGUUCAUGAAUAAUUUUUUUUUAUUUUUUUUCAUAAUUCUUUAUAUUCAUCUCAACAUUCUAAUCGUAACAAUAUAAUUUUCUUAUAAUCCAACACUAAAAUUUUAUAAAUUAUGAUUAGUUUUAUAAUCCUCUUAUAAGUUGUUUCUUUUAGAUUAAAAGGAUGACGAUGGCAAAGGUAGCACUAGGGUAACGUAGGAUGAUGCGGGUCCGAUAGGAGCUAAGGGUAAAUUGAUCAUUUAAAAAAAUAUUUUACGAGAAUUUCUUAAAGAUAAAGAGCUUCUUCAAAAACUCAUCAUAUUUUAUUUGAUUAAUUUUUUUAUCAAAAUAAUUUAUGAUUUAUAUAGUUUUAUUUUUGUCGAUGAUAUACUUAAUUGUUCAUGAAUAAUUUUUUUAUUCUUUUUCAUAAUUCUUUAUAUUCAUCUCAAUGAUCGUAACAAUAUAAUUUUCUUAUAAUCCAACACUAAAAUUUUAUAAAUUAUGAUUAGUUUUAUAAUCCUCUUAUAAGUUGUUUCUUUUAGAUUAGAAGGAUGACCAUCACCCGUUAAAAUUGACUGCAGCAUUUUCACUUGUAUUCAAAAUUUCAUCCAAAAAUGAUACUAAUAAUAUAUUCGAUAUAACUUUCUAGAACUUCACGUGUAUCUAACAUACUUAUAUCUUUGGUUAUUCUUAGUGCCAUUAAAAUUACAUUACUCGAAGGAAAUCAUUACUUAUGAGGUUAUUUAAAAAAAAAUAGUAUUUUUUUAAUUACAAUUUUAUUAUAUUAAAAUAAUAUAUAUGAUGCUCAUAUGUGAUUAAAUUUAAAAUCUAUCACUCGUAUAACAAUAUAAUAAUUAAUCGAAUAUCUCGAUAAAGACUUAACGAUUGUAUUUAAGAUUUUUUAAAAAAAAUUACUAUAGUAGAUUAAUUUAUUAUUCAUCAACUUAUGCAAGCAACUUGAAAAAAAAUAAUUACUUGUAUACUUCUAUUUUUAACAGUAAUACGAUUUCUUUUUUAUUCCCCAAAAUUUACAGUGUCUUUUUUACCAAUAAAGAAAAAAAAUUAGAAAUUAGAAAUUUUAUGUUUAAUUUUUAAUCAAAUAUAAUUAAAUAAAUGUAUUAAUUAAACGUACUCUUUUCAUUGACUUAAUCUCGUUUGAUUAGUUCCCUACGAAACCCUCCGAGCUUAUCGCUUCGCUCGAUUGCGACACGAAGCAUUCCGCAGCGCCAAUGGCGGACUCCGACCCUCCGCGACUCGACCGUCGUCACCUCCUCCUCCACCACCACCACCGCACCGCCGGUCACGUCCUCCGUCACUCGCUUUCCUCCCUCCUCUCCUCCGGCGUCCUCCCCUGCCUCCUACUCGCCUCCCUCCUCCUCUUCGCCUUCCACUCCACCCUCCUCGUCGCGACCCUCCGCCUCUCCGCCCUCGUCGAUCGCGACCCCGCCCUCCUCUCCCUCCUCCGCCGCCUCUCCUCCUCUCCCUCGGCUGCCCCCGCCCCCGCCCCCGCGCCUCCCGCCCGCCCGCGCUCCGCUCCCUUCCUCCGCCUCACCCGCGCCGGUGACUUCUUCUCGGAGUCCGACCCCCCCGCAUCACUUCGCUUCUCCCUCAACGCCUCCCGCCUCCUUUUCCUCGAUCCCGCCGUAGGCUUGCUCCCGCGACCCCCCAAGUCCUCCAAGAGUAGUGUACCCUUGUUCCCUUCCUCCGUUUCCCCUUUCCUUUUCUCGUUCCCCGACGCCGACGACCGCGGCGGCGGCGGUCGAGAUCGGGCCGUCAGUCAGCAGGAUUUGGGCCGGGGUUUCGACAUCGACCGUCGAGAUGCCACUGCGAUGCUCUACGUACUCGUCCUCCUCUCCUCCACCCACUCGCUCGCAAUCCUGGGGUUUGUCAUUGCGUAUACCUCUGCUCUCGGCAUUGUCUUCUUCUCGAUUGCUGCCUUCCACGUCCAGAGGCCCGCCACCGUCGUCGAGACCAUCUUUUCUGGCGCUCGGGCGGGGAUCCGACGGCUCACGGGGUUCGUGUUCUUGCGGUGGGCGGCGAGGGACAUGCUGAUCCAGUUCCUCAGCUUCUGGUUCUUCGCCAAUGUCGAGGAUCAGGCCGAGCUGUUCAAGCUCUUCGUCAAGGUCAAGCUUAUGCCUUUUACAUUGUCGCCAUUCAACCCAUGGUCUGGGCUGCAAGACGAGGCGCUCUCGGGGUUUUUCUUCGUGUGGGCUCUCGUCGACACAGUGGGGUCGGUGAUGGUUGUCCUCAUGCCCUGGGUGGUGAUAAUGGACAACAAUUUGAGGCGGGGUGUGCUGGAUGAGGUGAAAGAGGGGUUUUAUUUCAUAACUCUGAUGCCGGCACAGGCAAUCUGGAUCAAGUUCUUGGAGAUGAUGAUCUGUGGGAACCUGGGGACGUCGGCAGCCAUGAUGGUUGGUGGGAGAUUGUUUGCCGGUCUGUUCCAUGCGGUGGCGGAGGUAUACUUCAUGGCAGUUUGGUUGAUUUUCUACUUUGCAGCAAGGGGCAAGGAUGGAGAAAUGACGGGGCGGAGGUUUGGGCCAAGAGACUUGCAGCGUUGCAUCGAUGAGCUCAGUUGAGAUGUACCGUUCGUGCUGGUUGUGAGGAUCAUUCUGCUGGUAGCCGCAUACUCAUGAAUUCGGUGAGGUUGCGCCCUUUUACUUUCUUUGUUGUGAUAGAACUUUUAAUAGUCCUCAUUUAUACUUUCCAUUGGUUUAGGGGUUUUGGAUUCACAUGUACAGUUUUGGAUGAAGAGAUUUGUUGUAUAGGUUGUAGACAUCAAUUUGUAGAUCUCCUGUCUACUGCUGCUUAAUCAAGUAAUUGAUAACUCACACGAAUAUAGUUUCCUGGAUGUAUGUUUUGCAUGAUCUUUGUUAUGCUGGCUGGUUCUGAUAUCCAAUGCUGAAAUUUUAGGAGUUUACACUUUGAAAGUUGACACAAAUAUUUUUCGACUAUGUUAUAGUGUUAGUUUGAUGAUAUGUUAGCAGAAAAUGUUGCUUGAUGAAAACUGUGAAUUUUGAUGAUUAUAUUGAAAUUUAUGGAAACCCAUUAAGAAGGAUAAGAGGAUGAUGGGCAAUUGGUAACAGAAGUGCUUGAUCAUCUCUUUUUCAGUAAGAGUUUGUAUAUGUGAUUCAAAAGUUUCAAAUUAAGUGGGCAUCUUCUACAGAGAAGGAAAUGCCAACAAAGUAGAGUACAGAUAGGUUCUUAAAUUUGAAUCCUUACCAUUUAUAUCCUCUAUACCAACUCUUAGAGCCAGCAAAGUACAAACAAUCCAUAGUCGCCAAAAACACCACCUCCUAUCUGUUUGUUUCAGUUAUGUGUUUGUAUGAUUUUGAUGUGCCAGAACUACAUAAAUGUUUCUCUUUUUGUGUUGAAGAAACAUACUUUAAUAUCAUUUGAAAUAGACAGCAUCUAUGAGUUUAUGUCUAUUUAGCUAUACUCUUUUUAGAUGAAUUCUUAUGAUUAUAGUAUUGAUAAGCAAGGUAGGCAAUACCGAAUGAUACCGCCCGGUACGGGCGGUACGUACCGGUUCGACGGCAUAUCGGUACGCGGACCACCCGCAACUAGGCGAAACGUUUAAAAGCGUCCCGUAUCGGACGAUAUGGGGUAAUAUCGAGCGGUAACGAUCAAAAUUUCGAUCGUUACCGCUCGACACAACUCGGUAACAGUCGAAAUCGACUAUUACCGCACUGUAACAGUGCUACAGUGCUCCAACGGUUAAAUUGACCGUUGGAGCCCUUUCUCAUAGUAUUUAAACCCUUCUUCUUCCCUAUUUCCUUCAUUAGAUUUUCAUGCUCUCUUAAACUAUCUCAAACUCUUUUUUCUCUCCUAAACUUUACUAAACAAUGAUUUGUGAAUUCAAUCGAGGCUAAUUUGGGAAGAUUAAGAGGAAGAACUUUCUAAUUAAGAUGUAUGCAUUCUUUUUCUUUAAUUAGAGAGUAAUUAAGAUCUUUAAUAUUAUGAUUAGUGUGUUUCAUGCAUAUUAAAUAUUAAAAAAUAUUUAUGGUGCUGCGAUUAGUCAUUUUAAUGAUGAUUUAAUCGAAAUUUAUUCGAUUUUAUGUCAAUUCAAUAUGUUUAAUACAUAUUAUGGUGUUUGUCAUGUUUAUAGUGUUGAAAGAGAAGUAAUUAGUGAAAAAUUAACUAUGUUAAUUAUGUAAUUAGUGUAUCUAAUGAUGAUUUUAUCAUAAUUUGAAUCAUAUUGGAUCAAAAUUACAUAUUUAAUGUUUCUUUUAUGUGUUUGACAUAUAUUUCAAUCACUGAAAUACGAACCUUGAACAAGACUUCCUCAAAGCCUGAAAAAGAUAUGUGAUACUAUUCUUACCUAAUUUACAUUGAUUUUGUUAAACUUAUACUAUUACUAUAUUUAUUUCUAACUUAAAAACUCUAUCCUAACAUUUUUUUUAUUUUCAGGUAUUUUUGGAGGGUUUUACACCCUAAAUUAGGUGUACCGCUCGGUACGCCCUGGUGUACCGCUCGAUACACGGUACCGUACCAUACUGAGCCAGCCUCGAAACACCGGUAUGGUACGGUAUUGCAGACCUUGCUGAUAAGUACUAAAUACACAAAAAACACUAAAUAAAGGAGGUUAAGGCUUUUGUUAUAUCAUUAUGGGUUAGGAUAUCAUGCUUGUUUAACUGAAGGAAAAAAUUGCUUUCCUUCUAACUUCAAUGAACCUAAUACACUUUGACGAGAAUUGAGCCAAUUUAUUGCCUUAGAAUCAAGUAUUGGUUAGCUAGAGUUAUGAGACUUACUAAGAUUUCAGCUAGGUGCAAGCUUGUGGAUGUGGUAGUUAAGUAUGAAUGAGGUUUCAGAUAUUGAGCCUAUGGCUAAACAAAGGUUUGUUUUGAGACAAUGUUCUUAGAGUCAUAAACAGUGAAAUACCUGGUUGUUAAGCCCAUAUUCCAAACUGUAUAUGUUGACAAAUUUAACUAAAAUAAUUUUAUAUUCAUCAUUUUUUUAUAAGCAACUUUAUUGGUAUUUCUUGGUUUAAUCUGUUUUAAAAAACUUUGUUAGCUUCAAUUUAAUAUGGAGCUUAUUUUGAUCUUUCCAUUAAACAGAAAAUUAUUCAGUAAAUUCCUGGGAUCCUUUUAUGUCAUUUAAAUUGGAUAUUUUUGCUUAGUUUCAGAAUGGAAUAAGUCUCAGGAUUGUGCUGAGGUCUAUAACAAAGGUUUAAAGUGACUGACAAUAUAUGGAGAAUCUUGUCUUUCCUUAUUGCUAGUGUUUUUAAGAAGUAUAUAUUCUACCUUUCUUCAUUCUACACCUCGUAUUCUUUUAUAUCCACAGGUUACAUCACCUGAGAAUCAAGUUUAGUAUUUCAUUUUGAAUGUUAGUGUUUCAUUUUGAAUACUAGUGUUUUUAAGAAGUAUAUAUUCUUCCUUUUUCAUUCUACACCUCGUAUUCUUUUAUAUCCACAGGUUACACCACCUGAGAAUCAAGUUUAGUAUUUCAUUUUGAAUGUUAGAAAAAUAAGUUGAAUAGUUUGAAGGAACAAUAGGAUGAAUAAGGACUGUGUACAAAUUAAUGAUUGCUAGGACUGGUGAUGUUUAUUGUGCAGAUGCUUCUUGCUAAUUUGACAAAUUCAGCAAGUGCUGGAAAUUUUGCUUAUAGGACUAGUGACUAAUUAACUCUUCUUCUAUUUACCACAGUGACAGUUUCAUCACCUUCAACCUCGGAUGAGCCUUGUAUGAGCUUGUAGACAUGCUUUUGAGGCCAUAUGUAUAACUAUUGCUCUAGGUAGAUAUACCUAGAGGUAUCCUAAAGUUCGUAAGCCAAAUUGUAAUAUGGAAUUAUCUCAAAAUGUGUUAGGGUAUGCAUAUGACGAAUAUGAGUACUCCUUGAAGCCAUAGUCAUAACACCUGUUUGAGCGAUCCAAUUUUGAGAUUGUGAGUGAAAACAGCGAUGGUAUUUAUGAAGAAAUUGUCCUUGAGCUGUUCAGGUAUUAUAAUUGUUCUUUUUUUCUUAGUUUUGGAUAGAUAAAGAUCUUUUAUUCAUAAGACUUUGAAUGGUUUAAGUUUGCAAAGGAAUAAAGAUUUUGGGUUUUGGUUGAUCAUGAUUUACUUCUGAAAAUGAGAAAGAAGCGAGAAAAUCUUCUUUUUAACUCUGAUUCUCCCACUAAUCGUUGAUUUUCUUCAGGUUAUUUUGAAAGUAACUGCUUCAGAUUCAACCACACUGAUUGUUUAUAUUACUAUAAAACAACUCAAACAAAUUAGCCCUUUGAGUUUCCCUUAUAGAAGUUACCAUAUUUGGGGUUUUGACUACCCUUAGUUCAAUAUAAGAUUGUUUUUUUUCUUGUACUAAUUAGGCAUCAUCAAGGAUAUCAAAUGUAAUGUGCCCUAUUGUGGUACUUCAUUUUAAGGUUAGAACAGAGAUUUAUUAGAAACUCAUAAAAUGAAUAAUGCAAACAAAGUUUUGUAUACAGAGUGAACCGUUGACUUAGAUUAACCAGCUGAAUAUUCCGAGAGUUUUGAUUGAUUAACUUCAAUUUUCUUCCUGCUGCCUAAUCAUUUUGCUUGUAUAACACAGUAAAGGAUAAAAUCUUGAGACAUUGACUGUCCCCUUUAAGGAACUCUCACAAAUACAUAUGGUUGUACAGCACUUUUGAUUUUGUUACUUUCUUGUGUCUUUAUGUUAAACAUCCAAUUGUUUAUGUUUGAAAAGAAUCAGCCUUCGUAAAUGAAUUCUAAUUGAAAUAUGGCACUCUAAUAACCCUUUCUUAACAAACAAGAGAAACUGCUCGAUUUUAUCACUAAAAUGACGAAUAAGAAGAAUAAUGGUCAUAUGGUCUUCAGAUGUUACAAUCAUGACCAUAGAAACAUGAAAUUUAACUUAUUGAUAAACAUAAAUAAUGCUGCCAGCUGAAAGAGGACUAGGAAAUGAGAGAGUAUAUGGUUGGAAGAAUGGAUUAUGGACCUAAUAGCAAUAAAAAAAAUUAAUUUAAUAGGAGCUGGCUAGUUCGAUAGACAAUAAAAUUGUAAAACCUUGUUUACAAGGUUUUCUUGAUGGAACAAUUGAUUGGAGCAGCAGCAUGUUUUUCUUGUACCAUUCAAUGAUUUUGCAUUAUUUGUUGCCCUUUUUUUUAUUUAGUAGAACAAUUUGGACCUUUUUAUGCUUCAAUCAUGAAUUUUAGAUUGUAGAUAUAGCUUGCUAGUUUUCACCUGCUUGAAGAAUUUGAUACAUUUAGAUUGUUCAGAUAGAUAUUUGUUGGACCAUCUCCAAUUUUACGUUGGUUAACUGUUCACAGAGUGGGACAAUGACCUACAACUUGUUCUUUCAUCAUUUCUUUGUUAUAUGUUGUAGCUGAAUGGCCAUAAAAAUUUUAUAACAAGUUGGACACAUCCAUGUGUUUUUAUAUCCAUAGUUGAAAAUUUUGGUUACCAAAUCCAUACUAAUCUCGGGUGGAUGGUUUGUACGGUGUGUCUUAGUUUAUAAAUAACAAUGGUUUUAUGGUACGUAUAUCAAGAAUAAUGUUGUGCCUUAAGAUGUUAUAAAAUUUCUAACUAUCGAAUCCAACAUUAGGUUCUUAACUGAUAUAAUAAAAUUAGAAGUGGGCCUGUGUAUGAUUCCAGAGUUUCUCAUGAAUUUAUUCUCUCAUUUCAUUUAAAUACAACAUCAAAAGAAAACUAACUUGUUUGAUUUCUCAGAACUAAUUUUCUUUUAUCUCCUCAAAACUCUCUGUAUCUUUUAUUCAUGUUGAUUGCUUGAAUACUUCUCAGAUUCAAUUCAAAUAUCUGUGUGUGCAAUAAUACCAUAAUGUAGUCACUGUAUCUCAAGAUGUGUUUCUGGAUUUCUUCUUUUUUUUAACAAUCCUUGUAUUAGCUGGUUUAACAUAAAUGCAAUUGUGAAUUAUCAGGAGCCUGUAAUAGCUUUUGGUAACUCACUGAAAUUUUAAGGACCAAUUUAUAAGGAUUAAAUUGUGGGUCCUAAGCUGCUGUCCAUGUUGGCUUGUCCUAGUGUGUCUACAGUAAAUGGCCUUGGCUAAUUUCUGAUGAUUUCAUCAUUCAUUCACUUAGACACCAGGUUUCUACUUUCUUAUCAUGUAUCCCAGUGAUAGCAACAAGUGUUGUGAGGACUUGAAACACAAUCAGAUAUUUCGUCAACCAAAAUUACUUGCAUGUUAAUUAGUUGCAGUAGCAGGGUAUUUCUCUGUUGUUGUUUGUUAUUUGUUGUUAAAAGUUGUACUGAUUAAAUUGUGCCCAUGCAUCCCAUAUUUUAUACAUUGGAUCCAACAGUAGAAUAUGUGCAUUCUUGUUAUCGGUAUGGCUAAGAGUACGAUUUUAUCGGUUAAAUCGAUAUUUGUUGAUUGGUAUUCUGUCCAUCUGUCUAAAGAUUGAUGCCAGAUCAUAAUAUAAUUCGGUAGUGAUUGUUGUUUAUUUUCUGGCUUUUUAAUGAUAUCGACUGGGAUAUUAGAGAAGUUAUAUCAGUAGUAUUUGAUGAAGAAGGUUGUUUAAGCAAAAUAUAGUUGUUUGAGAUGUUGAGGAACCAACCUUGGUUUGAUAUUAGGAGAUGAAUGGGUUCGACAAAGUAUUCUGUAAAAUUUUUUUUAUCGAAUUUGUAUAGAGGUUGUGUCGGACAAGGAUCCUGCUAAAGUUAAUAACUUGGAAGAACAACAAUGAUUUAGGAUUUGAAAGGUUCAAAGAGUUGUAGUUGCAGAAGCGUAUCUGAGCCUUCAUAUAGAAUGAUAUAGUGAUCAUAAGGAUUAAGUGGGGGAGUUGAUCCAUGGAAGUGGUUUUGUCACAUUGUUGAGUGUUACCUAAAACGUCGAGCAUUGCGAUUGACAAGAUUAUGUAUGGUGACCGUAUGGGUCAUUCAUUCUACAUGUCGUGCCGACAAGGCAUAUAAGUAAGUGGCUGUCUAGCUGGCUACCAAUGAUGCGGUGUUCGAAUAUCUAUCAUAUCCAUCAGUAAAAAUCUUUGGCGCACUUCCAAAUAAGCGUCAUGAGUCAGUGUAAAGAUGUCAUUGUUUCAGCACAGAUGUUGUGACAAUUUAGGAUUGGGUUUUAGAUGGAGGAUGUGAUUGUUGAUAUGCCAAGGAAGAAGAAUUGAUGUUUUCUUACAAAUUUGAGAUGGUACUGCUUUAUGGGGGAAUUAGUGAAGAGGAUUCUCGCACCCCAUAAGAAAUUGCAUCUAGGAAGUAUGGGAUGGAAAUGGAGAGGCAAUUGUAGUGAGUGUGAUGGGGAAUUAAUUAAUGAAAGAUAAAUCUAUUUUCUAAGGAGGUAAAAAAGUGAAGUUUGAUCAGUAAAAUUAUUUUCUUAUAAAUAGAUCAAAAUGGGUUAAUCAUUAAUAGCCUUAGGAUGUAAAGGCACUUUUCCUCCAUAAAAUUAAUUAUAGAUUAAUAUUCAUAAUUAGUUAUUUUUAAUAUUUCGAUCUUUAUAUUUUUAAAUAUUAUGUUACGAUCCCUAUAUUUUCAAAAGAAAAUUAUUUAAUUUUAUUUUUUUCUUAUACUAUCAACUAUAAAAAUAUCGUACAAUGAGAUAGAGUUAAUACAGUGAAAUAGAGUUAACAUGUACUAAAUAAUAAACAUUAUGAUAUUUUUACUUGUAGAAUCAAUAUGAUGAAAAAUAAGAUUAAAUAUUUUACUUUCAUAAAUAAAAAUCGAUAGGAAUUAUGGUGAUAACCUAUCCCAAAGAGAUGAUAGGUUAUCAUAGCAAUAAACAUGAGCUCUUUCCAACUCUGAAACAUUUUUAUCUAAUUUUUUUUAUAACAUGAGUUUUAGUCAGUAUCGGAUACCCGUCCCAUUUAAGGUGGAGUAUAAUAGGAGUUUUCAUCAUUGGCCUCAGUACAACACGAAAUCUCUAUUAAAUGGAGAAGGAAAAGGAUCGUACUAACGGAAAAUGGACGUCCGUCGAAGGUUUGCACGCUUCAAUGUACAACUCCGGUGUAGGAAUCCCAUCUCUCUCGUUGUCCCGUACAUGGUUCAAGCUUCAAGGUCGGCGUUCGGUGCGAGCUACGCGCAUAGACGAAGCAGCGGGCCUUCGGGCCUCUCCGUGGCAAGCGAUGGAUCUCGGCUUGCUCCCUCAACCGUACUCAACCCUCCACUUGUGAUCCAAGGAUGCCCUUUCUCAUGUUAAAUACGUAUUAAUGCCGAGGAGGAAGAAUUUGUAAUAAUUAUUUCUAAUUAAAUAAGACAUAUUAGCAGAAACAAAUAGGAAAAGGAAGGCAGCUUUUCUUCUGCCAAGGUUUAGAUCAUCAAUGUAAUCGACCAAAAACUUCCGCAAUAAUUCAUGAAGGGAAGAAAUAAAUCAAAGAAUGAGUUUAAAAAUCCCCAAAUCCAAAACGAGAAAACAAAUCUUCUGCGGUUAACAACAACAAAUCGUCUAACAGAAAACAAAACGAUCAAGAUGAUGGGCGGAGUGAGAUCAAAGUUGAGACGAAGGGUCUGUUGGUGCUUACUGAGGACUUGCUCGGCGGAGAACCUUCUCGAGACGUCCCUGCAGAGCAUCCGCCGCAGCAGGUCCUUGGCUGCCGGCGAUACCGAGCGAAAAACCCUCGAUGGGAACCUCAGGUUGGCCCUGGCCACCAACUCGAAGGUCUCCGCCGCCGUAUCCCCGUAGAACGGCGGCGCUCCACCCGAAAGCAUCAUGUACAUCACCACCCCAGCGCUCCACACGUCCACCUUCUCCCCGUACUCCCGCCCCAUCACAACCUCCGGCGCCACGUACCACGGCGUCCCAACCAGCCCCCUCAUCGGCGCCCGUCCCCCAUCCGCCCCCAGGAAGCACUCCGCCGACCCGAAGUCGACCAGCUUGAGCUGCCCCAGCGCGUCGAAGAGAACGUUGUCCGGCUUCACGUCCCGAUGCGCCACCCCCCGCAGGUGACACGCCGCCACGGCCUCCGCCAGCGCUUGCACUACCGCCGCCGCCUCCGGCUCCGGGAACGGCGCUCCCCCGCGAGCGGCGAUCCGGUCGUAGAGAUCCGGGCCCUCGAGAAGCUCCACCACCAGGUGAACCCAGUCGUCGUCCUCGUACGCGUCGUGAAUCUGCGCUGCGUGGGGGUUCCCUGAAGCGGCCAGGCGAUGGACCUUCGCCUCCCGCGCCGCGCACUCGCGAUCGACGGCGUCCGCCAGGACCCGCUUCUCGACCGACUUUACGGCGAACUCCUCCCCGGUCGCCUCCGAUCGGCACCGCCUCACCACCCCGAACCGCCCCCGCCCGAUCUCCACGCCGAUCUGGUAGCCCCUCCUCACCAAUGCCUCGCUCAUGCCUCUCCAAUCCGAUCUCCACACUAUAGAAUCACGCCUUCUCUUCUACCUCCCGUCCGUCUCCUGCCACUCUUCAGUCCACCGUUGCUCGGUAUACUUAUAGUCUUAAGACGAAUCCGAAUCGGAGACCGAAUAUGCCCUGGCAUUUGACCACGUGGACGGUCGAUUCCAUCGGAUUCCAAUAAUCGGACGGACGACGGACGGCCAAAGAACCCUCCACUUAUAUUAACUUCGAGCCGAUGUCACUCUCACCCACAAUUACCAAACUAUCCCAGGAGACAAAGCAACGGCUUAACUAAUGGACAUACAUAAUGUAGCGUGAUUAGUUUGGUCUGUUAGGAAAAUCCUCCGACGUGUCAUGUCGUUUUGCGUAUACUUUUGAACCAUCAGUUCGUGAAUCAGGACCGUCCGAUUCGAUUUUGAGUGAACUUGCACCGUCCGAUCGGUAAUUCACCAACAAUUAGCGGAAAUAACGUGAAAUGAGUUGCGGGUUCCAAUAAGUUAUCGUGGUCGCGGCUGUGAUAAGCCGUUGUAAAUUUGACGGCGAGGGAGCACGUGGCCCCACGUGGUUGGAGGAAUAGGACGGCGCGCUCGGAGAAUCCGCGAGGAAGUUGGACCAGUUUAAAACGUGUCCUUUACUUUUCUGUCUUUUUUUUUUAUUCCUCUGUGUUCUUUGUUUUUAUUUUUUUAUAGGUCGACAUCAAAGACCGAGCGAAAAUUCUCUGCUUUGACUCUCUAGACGAUCGAUAGCAUGUCUCUUUGAUACCUUGGAGAUUCUAUGUAAGAUGUCAAUGCUAGAAUUAAACCUCCAAUUCGAAUCGAACUCGUGUAAGAGUUGAAAGCUAACCAAGGGGGCAGUUAGAAUUAUGAACCAUGGGAACAAGGGCAGAUGCAUCUUCUUCCACUGCCCAGAUUGCAUGCAUGGGCAAAGUCAUUUCACCGUAUCUUGCUACAGCAUCCGCCAUUUGAGCGGCUGAAUCAAGAUUCAAUCCCUCGACGAGCACCGCCGCCCACUUCCGAUCUCGUCGUAGUCCCUCCCUACCGCUCCGAUCCCAUCUCCACAGUCGAGAAUCACGCACUCUCUUCUCCCUCUUCAGCCACUCGAGUCCAUCGGUUCUCGGCUUGCCUAAGAACUGCGAAUCGGGGGCGGAACGAUUCCACUUUGUCCGGUCCACUCGUAACCCCACGCGGGUUAAAUGAUCGGCUAAAGGGCUCGUGUGGGACCGGACCCACACCUUUAAUCGGUGAUCGAGACACUCAGUUGCUCGACGAACCGGCACCGUCGGAUCGGGUCGGAUCAAUCACGAUAAUGAAUGCACGGAAACAGACAGAGAUGAGAUGAAACCUAUGGAUAUGUUUUCUGUUUGUUCAAAAGAUUACGUUUUAUCACAUCAUAAAGGUCGUAUCUUAUCUACGAGUUUAAACUUUUAGAUGAAAUGACAUUAAUUAAGGUUUAAGAGGUUAAUUAUUUGAUAAUCCCAAGAUUAAUCACGGAGGUCAGCGCGUCGUGGGGGUGUCCUGCAGCUGCAAGGCGGUGGCGCACUCGCGGCCGUUGGUUUCCGAGAUCUAAUCGGAUUCUAUAUACGAACUACGCCCAUAUCCGAAAUCUAAUCCGAUAUCCGAUCCCCUCGGGCAUACGUCUCCCCAUAUAUACGUACUAUCUACGCACAUCAGAACCGACUCUCCUCCGCCGUGACUCCGGCAGACGCCGCGGAGGGGGGCGAACGCGCGAAAAAUCAUGGAGAGACGAGGCCCCAUCAGUCAGUUUCCGGCCGGCUUCCACUUCGUGCCCACCGACGGUGAACUCAUCGGCCACUAUCUCCGGGCCAAACUCGACGGCGAGGACUUGCAGUACAAAGCAUUCAAUGACGUAAAACUCUACGACUACCAUCCUGCAGACCUCGUGGGUACGUGCGUCGUAUACACCCAUGUAUUUCUGGAGUUGUAUUCGUAUCUGUAGCGAGUAUUGUUCUAUUGCCAGAAAAAUACGAAGAUUAUGGAGAAGGGAGGUGGUUCUUCUUCACGUCCAGAGAGCGCAAGUACCCCAAUGGAAUUCGUCCGAACCGUACCACCUGCGACGGCGAUGGAUACUGGAAAGCCACAGGCACCGAGAAAAUCAUCUACUAUAAUCGAAAGCCUGUUGGAAUCCGAAGGUCCCUCGUCUUCUACACUGGGAAGGCUGGCAAUGGCCAAAAGACUGAUUGGAUCAUGCAGGAGUACACCACCAAGUCCACCUCUAACAAGCCGCAUCGUAAUUCCGACGGCUCUCACCAGCCGCAUCGUAAUUCCGACGGCUCUAUGCAGGUAUCGAUAAUUUUUAAGAUUUGCUUUCGACUUGAUUCAUCCAUGAUAAAUGGGUGCAAUGAUAUUUGGUGAUUUUGUAGUUGGAUCCGUGGGUUUUAUGCUCCAUUCAAAAGAAGCGAGGAGCGGAUAAGAGGAAGAGAAGUGAUUUGGAUAGUGGUGGACGCAGCAGAAGCAGCAGCCCUCCGCCUUCGAAGAUUUCUAGAACAGGCGGAGGCGGAGGCGGCGGCGGCGGCAGCGUUCCCAACGAAGAAGGGCUGAGUUAUAUGUUGGCUUCGACCGGUUGUCAAGUUGGAGUUCAUCAGGGUGGGUGGGAUGAUCCCCCGAGCAUCUGCAACAAUCAAUUCGACCAUGAAAACAACGCACCGCUGUAUGCUUUGCCCUUGGGGAUGCAAGACUAUCGUCGGUCUGCAACGGCUCGUCAAAUGCUUUCGGCGGACUUCUCAUCAGAAGCGGCGAGCUCAUCAUUGCAAUUCUAUUCAGCCGAGGCCAUGAACUCAGGUAAGCAAGUGUACCCAAUGGAAGCGGCGAACUCAUCACUGCGAUUCUUUUCAGCCGAAGGCAUGAACUCAGGACUGCAAGUCUGUGCAUCAGAAGAGACCAACUCAUCGCUGCGAUCCUAUUCAGCAAAAGCCAUGAACUCACGAGAGCAACUCUAUCCAUCAGAAGCGACCAACUCAUCGCUGCGAUUCUAUUCAGCAGAAGCCAUCAACUCCGCACAGCAAGUCUAUCCAUCAGAAGCGACGAACUCAUCGAUGCAAUUCUAUUCAGCAGAAGCAAUGAAUUCUGCACAGCAAGUCCACCCGACGAUGAGAUCAGAACAGAAAUUCUACGCAGCGGCGAUCUCGGCCCAACAGUUCUUCCUACCACCACCGCCGAUGAACUCAGCGCAGCAAGUCUAUCCGUCAUUCCCGCCGAUGAACUCGGCGGAGCAACUCUAUCCGUCAUUAAUGCCGGUGAACUCAGCAGAGCAAGUCUACUAUUCAGGAACGUCGAUGAACUCGGCGGAGCAAGUCUAUCCGUCAUUAAUGCCGGUGAACUCAGCAGAGCAAGUCUACUAUUCGGGAACGUCGAUGAACUCGGCGGAGCAAGUCUAUCCGUCAUUAAUGCCGGUGAACUCAGCAGAGCAAGUCUACUAUUCAGGAACGUCGAUGAACUCGGCAGAGCAGGUCUAUCCGUCAUUAAUGCCGGUGAACUCAGCAGAGCAAGUCUACUAUUCAGGAACGUCGAUGAACUCGGCAGAGCAGGUCUAUCCGUCAUUACCGGCGAUGACCUCCGGAGAGCAAGUCUACUCGUCAUUACCGGCGAUGACCUCCGCAGAGCAAGUGUACCCUUCGGGAACGUCGAUGAACUCGGCAGAGCAGGUCUAUCCGUCAUUACCGGCGAUGACCUCCGGAGAGCAAGUCUACUCGUCAUUACCGGCGAUGACCUCCGCAGAGCAAGUGUACCCUUCGGGAACGCCGAUGAACUCCGCAGAGCAUGUGUACCAAUCAGCAACGCUGACGAACUCGGCACAGCAGGUCCUACCAUUGGUCCACACGUCAGUGAACGACAACCAACAAUCGGUCCACUCGUCGGUGCAAAACAAUCCAUCAGAAUCAGCGUACUCGCAGGUAGAGCAGAACCCGCCGAACUCGGCGUUGCAAGGCAACUCAUCAGAACUCACAAAUACAGACUCGCCGUUAGAACUACUUGACUUUUCAGAUUUGCUUAUCCAAGACGAAAACUUAUUUGGCCGUCUACACUUGGAAUUAUGUGAUGAUCAACCACAGUUCCCUAAUCUCUCUGAACAAGACGGAGGCUCGCUACAAGCACUUCCUGGUCAUGGCGGCUCUGGUCUUCCUCCUCCUACCUCAGACAUGCCUCCAAAUAAUGAUAGUAAGUUUCAAACAGGUCAUCGUCAUCUCUCUAAACAAGACGGAGUCUCGCAACAAGCUCUUCCCGGUCAUGUCGGCACUGGUCUUCCUCCUACCUCAGACAUGCCUCCAUAUUAUGAUAGUAAGCUUCAAUCAGCUCGUCAACAUCAUGCACAGUAUAAUCCACAAAUAAGAACACUGGUAAAGUUGAUUUAGUUAGUCUUUAGCAUGAGUUCGACUAGUGUAGAUACAACAUAUACGGUGUAGCAUCAGCAUGUAUGGUCAUAUACAAUGUAGUAUCAUCAUAUAUCUGCAUAGUAUAUUAAACAAAAUUCAUAUUUUUACAGUGUGUCAAUCAGCAUCAACUAGUGUAGAUCAGGUAUUUUGUCUCAUAUACAGUGUAGUAUUUUGAGCAAAUAAUACAUCUUGGGAUGAACAGUAUCUGUUGUCACCUUGCAAAUCUUUACUACCUUGAAAUUUAUAUGACAACUAUUUAUGAUUGAUUUUAUCUGUUUUUAGUUAUAGUGAGGAUACAAUGAAAAGAAAUACCACUACCAACUCAUCUAUCUUUGUCGAUUCUGCAGGAGUUAUGAACAGUCCUACAAAAAUCCAAUCCCUUAUCUCUUUACUUUGAUUCAAGAUAACAAGUUCCUGUUAAGAGAAACAAUCAUAUCUUUUAUAUGUUGCAUUUGGAUCAUGAGAUUCUUAAAGAAGUUUACUAUUGAUAAUCCUCAUUUUAAUAUUAAAAUAUAUAAUUUUACUAUUUAGUGUAUUAUUCUCUUCAUAUUUUCAUCUCAAACACAUUAAUAUAUUUUUUUUUAUCAUCUAAAAAAUUCUAUUUAAUUAUCAACGUUAGAAGCAUCCAAUUGUCUACGUAUAUGUAUAUUUAUGAUCGACUUGUAUCUUUUCACCCCCAAGAAAGCACGAAGUGGAUUAAGGUAGCUUAAACUAAACAAUUAGUCAAACAAGUCUAAUUUGGUUGGCUCCAUUUGUACACGUACACAUCCUUCAAAUCCUACUCUCGCAGUUCUUUGUUGACUGCGAUGAUUGACGACUGGUAAUUUGAGAUGGGAAUAGACAAGGUUGACAUCAACGUCUUGAAUCCAUUCAUCGUAUGGACCAUCAUAAUUCAUAUCGAUAGCUAUGUUUGGUGCAUUCGUAGAACUAACGAUANNNNNNNNNNNNNNNNNNNNNNNNNNNNNNNNNNNNNNNNNNNNNNNNNNNNNNNNNNNNNNNNNNNNNNNNNNNNNNNNNNNNNNNNNNNNNNNNNNNNNNNNNNNNNNNNNNNNNNNNNNNNNNNNNNNNNNNNNNNNNNNNNNNNNNNNNNNNNNNNNNNNNNNNNNNNNNNNNNNNNNNNNNNNNNNNNNNNNNNNNNNNNNNNNNNNNNNNNNNNNNNNNNNNNNNNNNNNNNNNNNNNNNNNNNNNNNNNNNNNNNNNNNNNNNNNNNNNNNNNNNNNNNNNNNNNNNNNNNNNNNNNNNNNNNNNNNNNNNNNNNNNNNNNNNNNNNNNNNNNNNNNNNNNNNNNNNNNNNNNNNNNNNNNNNNNNNNNNNNNNNNNNNNNNNNNNNNNNNNNNNNNNNNNNNNNNNNNNNNNNNNNNNNNNNNNNNNNNNNNNNNNNNNNNNNNNNNNNNNNNNNNNNNNNNNNNNNNNNNNNNNNNNNNNNNNNNNNNNNNNNNNNNNNNNNNNNNNNNNNNNNNNNNNNNNNNNNNNNNNNNNNNNNNNNNNNNNNNNNNNNNNNNNNNNNNNNNNNNNNNNNNNNNNNNNNNNNNNNNNNNNNNNNNNNNNNNNNNNNNNNNNNNNNNNNNNNNNNNNNNNNNNNNNNNNNNNNNNNNNNNNNNNNNNNNNNNNNNNNNNNNNNNNNNNNNNNNNNNNNNNNNNNNNNNNNNNNNNNNNNNNNNNNNNNNNNNNNNNNNNNNNNNNNNNNNNNNNNNNNNNNNNNNNNNNNNNNNNNNNNNNNNNNNNNNNNNNNNNNNNNNNNNNNNNNNNNNNNNNNNNNNNNNNNNNNNNNNNNNNNNNNNNNNNNNNNNNNNNNNNNNNNNNNNNNNNNNNNNNNNNNNNNNNNNNNNNNNNNNNNNNNNNNUUUCAUAAUUUAAAAUGACUAAUAUGAAAUUUUGGAACUGUACUAAUAUCUAAAGUGAUAUAAACAUAUGGAAGGUUAUAUGUAUUAAAUUCUCAAGGAACAAUUAUGAUGUUAUAAAAAUAUAUGUAUAAAGGUGAAGUAAAAGGAAAAAAGAUUCUUACCACGACAAGAUCUAAUGUUUCUUUUCUAGUGUUGGAAGAUACAUGGUCACAAAGUCAAGUGCACGAGCACGGAUGACCAAUCAACUAAUAAAGCUAAAUCAAGGUGAUUAAAUUUUUUUUUAUUUUUACCCCAAAUUUUUUAUAUAUAUUCUCAUAAAUAUAAUAUAAUAAUCUAUGUUAAACAUGACGCAUAUCUCUCAUCAUCAUCAGCUCAUCAUAAGUUACCAUAUGUUAGUGUUCAUGUAUCACCUCGUAUUUUAUCUAUGGUUACAUCUCUACUGAUUCUUCUUCGUAUAUAAAUUCUAAAAGGGAUGAGAAAAAAUAGAGAAAUAUUUCUCAAAAAUAUAUAUGAGAUUUGUUUGGAAGUUUAGAUUAAUUCAAUGUAUCUACAGUUUAUUAUCACAUCAUUAGGAAUUUAAUUUUUUUUUUUCUGUAAGGAAGAAGUAUCAAAUCAUGUUUUUUUUUCUUAAAAAAAUAUUAUUAUUAUUAUUAUUAUUCAUCUGAAAUAUUCCACUGACAACAUAGUGAUCAAUGCUUCAUUCAGGUGAAAAGUAAAGAAAAAAUAUAUAUACGACGAUAUUUAUGCUCGAAUUAAAGUAUAAAUAUAAGUAUAAUAUCAUAUCAUAUAUUCAAAUAAAUUGCAUUGACAACAAUGAAUAUAUUUGAUUCACCAACGUGAAGAACGGUGCAGGCGAGUGAGAGAAUAUAGUAUGUUUCCGACAACAAAGAUCCGACACAUUGACUGGCUUUUCCCGUGGGAGAUGUGCUCCCACCACUGUCGAGAAGAGCCAACGCAGUAGUCUUCACGCACCUCCCCUUGCUUCGUUCCAAACGUCAGUCGACAGACGGUGUGAACGCGUCUGCAGCCUCUCUGUCAAAGCGAACGAGAGCUUAUCCAUGUCGUCGUCAUUCUGAUGGCUUAAUCCCCACGUGGCUCAACGCAUUACGUCACGUUUGUGUUGACCACACCGUUUGACUGCAUCGCCUUGGGUUUCAGCUGCUCGAGGGGGUCAGUGGAAUGGGUGUUUACUAAAAGACACUUUAAGUUGCAGUUGCUAACAAUGACACCAUUUAUUAUUUUUACGACUCUGAUUAGGUUCAAAUCAUUCGGAUGAUUAGAAAUCUAUUUUUUCAGCAUAUUAUAUAUAUAUAUUUAAAAUACUUUGGAUGGUAAUAAGAUUUUUCUCUCAAAAAUCGAGAGAAAAAGCUCUUCAAAAAUAUAUAAGAGUUUCGGACUGAUUUUGAUUAACUAAAGAGAUUAUUAUUCUUUAUUAUAUAUAUGUAUAUAUAAUGAAAAAUCAUGUGUUUUUCAUAGAUGUAGAUUAGGGUUACAAAAUCAUGUAAUUAAUUUUAUGUCGUAUUUUUUGGUUUAUUUCUUAAUUAUUGAUCUAAGAAUUUCUUCUUUUUUGGUAGCCCUUUUCCCUGUAUGUCCUCAUCCUUUCAUUUUUUGUUCACGUUUGUACCUUUUCAAUCUUGUCGAAUCAAACCGGAUGAGUCUUUUCCAAUCAUUUUGGAUGAGUUCGCACGCCACCGUAAAAUCCCUAAAAGGUGGUCAGAUAUCACUGCUGUCUAUCUCUGAGAAGAGACAUUCUCCAUCAUCACUAACCAGUCAACAAUAUAAGGCUUCUUCGCAUUUCUCCUUCCACUCACCCCAUUCGAUUACUUCAAUUAAAUUUCUGUGAUUUUGUUAUAUAUUUCUAUUGAAGAUAUUUCUAACAAAAGAUUUUAGAGAUCCAUUAUGUAAAUAUUUGUAUCUAAAAUAGAUAAUUUUUUAUGAGCUUAUGUGCUUUCACAGAAAAUAAUAAAAAAAACUGACUUAUCAAGUUUAUACAUCAUAUCGCUUUCAUAAGAAGCAUUAACUAAAAGAAAAUUCAACAAGAUGCACUAAAACAGCACCUCACUAUCCGACUCGGUGACUUGAUCUCAUCCUGCUCACCUACACACCAUUAAUGAGUGUGGGUGGGAUUGGGUCGAAUUCCUAGACCAGCGUAAUAGCAUGACAAGACAAUGACUGCAUCAGCCAAUAUCAACAGUGAAGAGUAACAGAGACGACAUUCUCAGCUGAACCAAGUCUUCGGGUGCGAACUAUUUCCAGGAAGGUGCAGAAGUGGCAUUACUCUUUUCAAGUCGGCAUUGUGAUUCCACGUAUAAAUGCUCCUGCGAAGCCUUUGAAAGUGGGCGUGUGUGUGUGUGUGUGAGAGAGAGAAAGAAAGAGAGAGAGAGAGAGGAUAGGAGAGGAGGAGAAACAGGAAAGGAAGAGUGAGAAGAGGUGAAUCUACCCAGCAUGGUGAGAUCUCCUUGCUGUGAGAAGAUGGGUCUCAAGAAGGGGCCAUGGACAACGGAGGAAGACCAGAUCUUGGUAGCUUACAUCAAGAGGUACGGCCAUGCCAACUGGCGAGCGCUGCCCAGACAAGCUGGUGAGCAAAUGAUUCUCCUCGAGAUUUAUCAUUCUUGGCUUGCUUAUGAGGAAAUGAUCGAGUCCUGACCAUGGCGGCUUCUCCGCGGCGAUGCUUCUUCUCAGGGCUUUUGAGGUGCGGGAAGAGUUGCAGACUCCGGUGGAUGAACUACCUGCGGCCGGACAUCAAACGAGGAAACCUCACCAAGGAAGAGGAGGAGACCAUCAUCAGAUUGCAUGAGAGGCUUGGGAACAGGUACGACACCUCCAUCCCCAAGCAAACACGAAUUCUGAUUCGGACGUGCGAGUCUCUGAUACGGUAGUUUUCUUCUUGUCGACAGGUGGUCCGCCAUUGCUGCCAGGCUACCAGGGAGAACAGACAACGAGAUCAAGAACGUGUGGCACACCCACUUGAAGAAGCUCGCCGGCCCCAACAUGGCUUCCAAGGAAUCACAGAGGAAGACGCCAGAUCGUUCCAUGGUGAAGAAGAAGAAGAAGGUAUCCCUGGACACGGGACACGAUACUGCAAGGCUUGUGUCGGUGUCACCAGAACAGUCAGACAGCGACUUCUCGUCCUGUGCCACUGAUUCAUCAACGGCAUCAGCAGAGAUCGGCGACAGUACUGUGGGCGUCAAAGAGGAAAGCUGUCCCGCGGAAGACUUGCAAGAGAUCGAUGAGAGGUUUUGGCUGGAGACGCUGUCGAUGGACGACUCCGCAGCGUCCAUGGACAUCACGAGCCUAGAAAUCCCUCCUCCUCCUCCUCCUGCAGUCACUGACCACUUCAACUUGCUCACCUCAUCCAACGGUGACGACAUGGAUUUUUGGAUGGAGGUCUUCAUGAGAACUGGAGAUUUGCAGGAACUGUCACAGAUCUAAUACGAACAUGGUCCUUUUAGAAUUCUUUUAUAGAAUAUUUUUGUGGCCUCGAGUCGAUCCAUUCAAGAUAGAAGUACCACACCAUCAAGCUUCAAUUGUGGAAGACAGAGAGGACAAAGCAAAGCUUGAUCCUUCGGUUCCAAGGUGGAUGACAGCUUACUCUAACCAUGUCAAGCAUGAUUUGAUCAAGUAAAAACAGAUUAUUCGUGACAUUUUUAAUUACCACUUGCUGCCUCAUGCGUUAGCUAUGGUGAUAGUUUAUUGGUUUCACUCAAAAAAAAGCUUCGAAGACCAAGUCUUGCAGAAGAUUACCACCGGGCUUUCAUUGAAAUCCUGUAACCUGGUCACGGAUGUGUGAUUUCAGCCACAUUUAAAUAAGCAUAAUCUAAAUCCACUAUCUACAUCUUUCUCUCUCUCUCUCUCUCUCUCUCUAUAUAUAUACAUAUAUAUAUUGGUUUGGAUUCCGAAUGUGCUGCAACCCGGGAGAUAGUUUACAGUUGUCGUCAACAAAAUGUGACCAAUUCAUUGAUAUCUAAUUAUUAGUUUGUCUGAGUGGCAUUCCACCAUAUCUAUCCUUAAUAGGAUUGGAAAUAACCUAUUUGCCCUUACAACAAAUUCACAUGAUUUGCAUGUAGAAAUUAACCAUCAAAAUUCAUCUUAAAAUUUUAAACUAAUCAUUAUUAAUAUUAGUUAGUUCUGAUUUAAAAGUUAUAAUAUUGUAAUGUUCUUAACAUUAUAAAGAGUUUUAGAAAGUAUUCAUGCCACUUAGAAUUGCAAAUACUCGAUGGAGGAAAAAUAACAUAUGGUCAUAUACACGUACUCUCAGACUCACAAAUACAUGUGAAUUCAAAAUAAAUAAGAAAGUCACUUUUGAGGUGUAUAUAUAUAUACAUGCAAUUUUGCCCCCUUUUUUUAUUCAAGAUAUAUUCAGACAAAUAAAUCUUAAACUGGAUUACUUUCCCCGUGACUUGCUACGGUCUACAAGACUAUAAAUCUUAACCUCAAAUAGCAGCAUUUUUACUGAUUCCUAUUCAAAACAUCAGUCGCCUUCCAUAUCCGAGCAACGAACAAUUUAAAAAUAAUCGACAACAACAGUAACAUUUUCCCUUAAUGUAUUUAUUUUCUUACUCUUAUAUUUUGCUCUUCCAAUAUCAAUCUCAGAAACCCCAUCUUCUUCGGGAACUGAGCUUAUUGACCUUAACUGGUACAUGAACAUCUAUUCUCAUGUAGAAUCUAACGUAUUAAAAAGUCCAAAUGCUACAAGAUAUGAAGUUGUAAUCCAAAUCUACUCCAUUACCAAAUAUGUAAAAACAUUAUCUAUUGUAGAUAUUUGGUAAGAUGCAGCCGACCUGGACUUCCCUAAAUUGAAUUUGUCACGGUGUCCUUUAAUACACGGCCUCAAUUUUCUCUCUCUAAAAAUAUUUGCAAUUAUCAACUUCAGCAAUUUUCAUCUAACGAAACAAACAAAAUAAAUACAUGACACUAGAACUAUGAUGACCAAUCCAGAAAGCCAGCGUUUGAAGAUUACACUACCAAAGAACAAAUUAAAAAUGAAUGCACAACUACAUAAAAAAAAUAUGAAAUGUCUAAGUAAUGCAAGACUACAGGUCACAGAAUAUCUAAAAGUUGCCCUGCAUUAUUUUUAUAUACCAUAAGCAUUUCAUUAAAAAGAAACUACAAUCAUAAAGAAAAAAAUAUUAAGUCAAGAAAAACCUAAUGCAUCUUUUAGUGAAACAUGCAAGCAAAGCAUCUAUUGUUGCAUACCUCAGAGUGCUCAAGUCCUGCUGGAAGCAGUAUUAGAUAACACAUAAGAUAAAACAUGUAUUCUUGCCUUGGGACAACAACAGGCCGAUCAUUGUCUACAACAGCUACAUUAUUCGAAGCUGAAUGUUACAGCAAAAACUGUGUCAAAACAGCCAACUGUCAUGAAAGCAAAAGUAAAUUUAUUCAAAACCUCCAAGAGCGUUUUUCAUGGGCGGCAACAGAGUCAACCCACAAGUAAAUGUGAGGAAAAUUUUAAGACAAGCAUGAAUAUGCAAGAGCCUUCUCCUCAGACAAUUCCUCAGCCGUUGCAUCCAAUUUCUUCCUUGAGAAUUCGUCAAUAGAAAGUCCUGAAAUGAUGGAACCAGAUACAUAAUGGCCAAUCAUUUCUUUUCUUUCAUAGUAUAUUAUUUUACAGCAAAUUCUUCAAAGUGCCAAAUAAAAGCUUUCUAGAGAAAUAUGUUAUAUACUUAAUUAACUGCUUACGAAAUUAAAAUAUGACUGGAAUAUAACAUACCUAAAGAAACUUGAAUCCAGGGAAUAAUAGCAAUGAACUUAAAUACUAUACUACUAAACUACAGGUCACAACUUUUUAUAUCUUUUUUUUUUAAUUUUGCCUAGUAUAUUUAAAUCAUACUUGUUUUCAUUUAAAUAGUAUAUAACAAGCAAUAUCAAAAGUUUAUGCCUUGAGAGGUGCACUACCUCUUUUUUUUCUUUUUCCUACCUGCCUUGGAAGUCACAGGACAAUCUACCAUCGUCAACCCACUUAAGUAGCCCUGCCAACUCACUGACUGCCGGAUCGAAGUGAUUGGCAAAAGUAUUUGGUAGUCAUUCCUUUCUAUCCCUUCCGGUAUAUCUUUCUUCCAAUUGAGUUAUUCCAGAUUACUUUUGAAGAGGCAUAAGCAAUCCAUGGUCCAACUCUUAGUCCCUCCCAGUUUUUUUUAUCCAUUCACUUCUUUUUGUGUGAAUUCCAUUUUGAAUUUAUACUACAGUUAUGGCCGGACUUCUACACCUCAAACUUUUGCCACCUUAACAUAGUACUAGAUCAUUUUGCAUCAACUCCAAAAAUAAUAUGAAGAAAAAUUCAAACAUUUUUAUGUUAAAAAAUCCUAAGACUAUUAACUUAUAUUACAUGAGCAACUAGUAGUAAUGGCAACACACUGAUACAUCUAGAAAUUAAAAGGCAUAGGCCCUUCCACAGGAUCAGGGAUUCAGAUUCAGGGUACGUCACUGAUUAUUUUAAUGCAAGUACUAUCAUGCUUGCUGUAAGCAUACUAAUCCAAGUUAAUGUUGUGGACUUAUAUUAUCUUAAAUAGCAUCACAAAAGUAUGUUGAGCUCUACCCCAUAUAAAAAGAAAAAAACAAGUACAAAUAUCCAUGUAAAUUUUGGCAUCUACAUAUUGCAUAUCUUACGGCAAGUAGGAAACAUGGAAUGUGACUUGUCAAGAAGAUUAAGUUAAAUGGUUCUUGCAGUGCUCAUUAUAAUUAAUCGGUAUGAUUCAUCUUGAAGAGUAAGUUGAAUGACACAUGCAUUGCUCAUUUCAAUUUAUCAGUCAUUCUCUCACUCUAAGAGCAAAAAGGCAUCACUAUAUUCAACCAAUCAAUCAUGCAUUUGAAUAUAAAAAUGCCAUAUAAAACAUCCUCAGAAGUUACACACCUUGGACGAUUGUCCACUCGCCAGCAUUGCAUGUGACAGGAAAAGAAUAAAUCAGCCCAGCCGGUACAUUGUAUGAACCAUCAGAGUAGACACCCAUGGAAACCCAUGUUCCCUGUUGCGAAGAUAGGAAAGAAUCAGGAUACACUUUACCCAAAUAGCAUUAAGUUCUAAAAAAAACACUACAGAAAAUAACCUCAGGGGUCCCGAGAACCCAAUCACGUAUGUGAUCACAAGCAGAACUGGCAGCAGAUAAAGCACUAGAAAGCUUUCGUGCUUUAAUGAUUGCAGCACCACGUUGUUGAACAGUUGUAAUAAAUUCUCCCUUGAGCCUGCGCCAAUAAGAUGCAGUGAUGAUUAUCUAGUCUAAUUUUAAAAGUUUUGAGAUGAUUUAUAAUCCAGAUCUGAAAAAAGUAAAUUUGAAAAAUGUUAUCAUACCAGUCAUCAUCAGAAACAAGCUGACGAACAGGCUUUUCUCCACUUGGUGUUUUAACAGUUGCAUGACUUACAUCAGGAUACUGAGUAGAAGAAUGAUUUCCCCAGAUGAUGACGUUCUUCACAUCACUGACUUGAACAUUUAGUCGCUCAGAAAUCUGACCCAGUGCCCUGUUGUGAUCUAGCCUUGUCAAACAAGUGAUGUUUUUUGCAGGGAUGGAAGGAGCAAACUCUUUCAGUAUAAGAGCAUUAGUGUUUGCUGGAUUUGCCACAACCAGCACCUACAAGGCAAGAGAUGAAGGAUUCAAGCAGAAAAAAAAAACAUCAAGCACUGGUAUGCUAUUGAUAGGAAAUACACAUACAUUUCAAGUAAAACUGAAAGCAUUUUUGUUGAAUCUUACAAACAGAUUGCAAAUGCAAUUACUCAAAAUAAUACCUUGCAGUUCGGAGCAGCAUAUGCCUCUAAGGCUGAAGCUUGAGAUUUAUAGAUGGAAACAUUUUUUGACAUCACAUCCUUUCUCUCCAUUCCUUCCUUCCGUGGGAACCCACCAACCAUAACAGCUAUGUUGACUCCAGUGCAAGCCUCCACAGCAUCAGUUGUGGCCACGACACCUAAUUUAUUAUUGUAAGAGUGGUUAAUUAGAAAAACAAGAUAAGAAUAAGGACAUAUAUGGAUUGGAUAAUAUCCAACAUGAAAGGAAAAUAAUACCCUUAAGAAGAGGAAAUGCUGCAUCAACCAGCUCCAUCCUAACUCCAUUUAGAGCUUCUGCAGCAGGUGGAAUGUCAAGCAUGUGCAAGAUAACAGGUUGGUCUGGGCCAAGCAUCACACCCCGAGCAAUCAUUGGCACGAGUGCAUAUCCAAUUUGUCCUGCAACCAUAAAGUAUAUGAGUAAAUUUAAGUUUUUUACAACUAAUUAAGUAACAGAAAAUGAUUGAAAAAAUCAAUUUCAUAUGAAACAAAGGUAUGUAACACUUAUCUACUUCAAUGAAGACAAUUUUUUUUCUUUUUUUGACUUGUGAACAGACUUUGGUGGAACUAAAGACAUUUUUUUCAGCAUUUGGGUGAUAAUUAGCAAAAGCUAUCAAGCAUAUUACAAACCAGAAAAGAUGAGGACCAUUUGAAGAUGGACAAAUAACAGAAGUGUCACCAUGAAAAGACUAUGAUUAAAAAUUAAAUAAAUCACAGUAAUACAAAAGCUGAAAGAUCUCUCACACAAAUAAUCAACUCUCACAUGUAAAUACCUGUCUUAACAACCUUUGCUAGCUUUUGAGAAGCCAGCUUAGGCAGGUUAAGUCACUCGAGCAAAGACAAAUAGAAUUGAUGGAUUACCAAAAAUUGGGCAAAAAAACCUGUCUUAAUAACGUUUGAAGUAAAAACCUGUCUUAACAACCUUUGCUAGCUUUUGAGGAGCCAGCUUAGGGAGGUCAAGUCACUCGAGCAAAGACAAAUAGGAUUCUAUAGUGCGUGAAGAUAAUAAACCAAAAAGACUGUCUAUAUAAACAACGUUUUGAAAAAUUGAUGAAUAACAUGUUCAUGUAGACAAAUAACCACAUAUUAGCCAAAAGAAUACACAAAUGAUAUAUUUCUUGCUGGCAAGAGAGUACAUGAUUAUUCGGAACAAGGACAAAAUCAAGCACAUCGUUUCUUUCUUCUUCUCGAGAUGUGUUCACACAUAAACGAUUUAGAACGUAGCAAUGACAUAGUAUUCAAUUAUUGGGUAGUGCUUUUGGAUGUUACCAAAAUGAACAAGUAUUUCAAAGUUAAAAAAAAAAGACUUUCCGACAAGAUCAACUGAAAAAUCAAUCCCACCCCGAAAAAACAACCAAAAAAUAAGCGAACGACAAACACCAAAAGAAAGUGAAAGGAACCCCAAAUCACGGUUAGACAGCUCCUGAUCUUCCUCCGGAAGAAAAAAAAUCCGAAAAGUCGAAAUCAAAGAGACCCGAUUUAGCAAUUAGCAUAUCAAAUUGUUAGAUCAAUAACUAGAAAGAAAAAAAUCGAUCUAAGACCCUGAUGCGUUCAAAGUGAGCAAAACGAAAGCACCCACAGCCAAGUGAUUCAGAAAACCAAAGAAGAAGGCAGCUGCACACGCUACGUCGAUUCAGAUCCGACAUCCGGAAGCCUAAAACCAAUCGGAUCUGAGAUCUAUGACCGAUUAGACCAAACAACCCCCGAUCACGAAGUAGAAUAGAUCAAAGGAUGAUAGCAGCCAAAGAAGAACCGAGAUCUAUACCUGCAGCUCCCGUAACAAGAACUCGAACGGGAUCUUUCGCCAUUGAGACGCCGAGAAGAUGCCAACCAAGCAACAAAGGCGAUAACCUAAAAAAGAGGGCUAAUGGAGAGUGAGGCUGCGCUUGGAAGAUAGUGAAGGAGUGAGGAUAGGGUACCUAUAAAGGCGAAAAGAACCUGGCAAUGGACGGACGGACGGAUGGAGAGAUCGUUUGCUGGACGGUUGCAUGCGCCUGGGACUUUCAUAAUGGACGGAUUAGAUUCCAUCUACUGACAGAGGGCCAGCGAUGGACGGUGGAUAAAGCGUUUCUUUACGCCAACAAAUCACCAAUAAACAAAUAAAAAGCUUUAAUUCAACAAUAAAAGCACAAAAGAAGGAAAAAGUAUAACGAUCACCCAAACAACCAAAGUGACCGUCUUAAUCACUAAUGACGCUUUAAUAUAACCAUAACUUAUUAUUUUCGAAUUAUGAUCAUAUAGUUCUUACAACCGAUCGUAAUGGACAUCAAUUAAACUCGGCAUGCUUUUACUAAUCCGUACUCCUACUCGUGUUUACCACCUCUUUAUAAUUGAGUUUAAAAUGGGAAACUAUAAGUGGGUCUACUGCGCUCUCCAAUAACAAGGCAGGUAGGUAUAUGAGUAAUUAAUGAACAGAAAGAAAAGCUUGUUUAAUUAUAUAAAUUGGAUAAUAUUUAUAAUAAUAUUAAUCCGCGCACUAAGUUUAUCAGUCAUUAUUACAACAUGAACCCCAUGUUACUUUUCCAACUACCAAUGUGUCUUUUUCCAUACUAAACACUCGUGGAUCUCGUCUUGCACCACUAAAGAUGAAGUGUUAAUAUAUAUAUAUAUAUANNNNNNNNNNNNNNNNNNNNUAUAUAUAUAUAUAUAUAUAUAUAUAUAUAUAUAUAUAUAUAUAUAUAUAUAUAUAUAUAUAUAUAUAUAUAUAUAAGUUUAUAACGAGACAAACAAAGACCCAAUAGGUUUCGGACUGGGCUCGUUUCUCGCUGUGUAUAUAUAUAAGUCGGUUUUCCUUUCCUCGUCUUCCUUAUUGACGUCCCAGUGAGCAUCGACGGGCAUCGACAGCGAAAUAGCGGCGAAAGGCUUUGGUAAGUCAUCAUCCCUCCUCUCCUUCCUCUUCCUUCGUCCGCCACUCAUGCGCAUGCCUUACCCUUAUUUUGUUCACGCCCUAGCCCUAACCUUAUACCUGUCUCUUAUUUUUGGACCUGGAUCAAAUCAUUAUACCUUUUCCUGAUGUGCUUCCAUUUCUUUAGCAUGAUUGUUUGGUUUAAUUCCAAAGACGUUUGUUUGAUCUUGUAAUUUACAGGUUUGAUUCGUGACCCCCUUUAAAGCGGAACAAAGCAGAGUGCGCGCGCCCUUCAUGGCGACGGCUUCAGGUAUAUUUCCAUCUCUUGUUCGUCUUGGAUUCUUAUGGUCUAGUCCCCCAUCUUUGAGCUCUGUGGGGAUCAGGUUUAGUUGUGGUGUUUCUUGAUUGGAAGUGUGCGGUGACUAGGGAUUAUAUGGUGUCGGUUAUGGCUGUUGUUUAUUUUGGUUUGGCCUAUAAUUAGGGUUUUGCCUUUGUGAAACUCUGCAUCUAGAAUUUGUAAUUUGUAUCACCUGAAAAGAAUUAUAGUUCUCUGUGUGCUAUUGACAUAAUUAAGUGAUUUAAUCAUGGAACUUUGUUAUUCUUAGAUAUAAACUUUGUGCUUCCCCUUUCCCUUCACUGAAAAGUUACCCCCACUUUUUAGUUGGGGUAUUGCUGUGGUUUCCAGUUUCUGUUUGGCUGUGAGUUUGAUGGUUUUGGCUAGUAUGGUUAUAUUUGUGUUGUUUUAGUUGUUUUUAGCUGGUGAUACCAAUUUUUUUAUUUUUAAAAUUUCUUUCGCAUUAUUUGGAAAAGACUAUUAAAUUCAUCAGGUUCAUGGUUGUUUACAGAAAGUUGUGUUUUCUUUUAUCUAGUAUAUUUUAUUUGAUUUUUUUUUAAUUGAGAAAGAGGGAUUUUUAGCAUUUCUGUUUCUAGUCUUCAUAUGUGUCUGAAAACUUCUUUUCGUUAUCCAUAUAAUUUUCUUCAGAGUAAUCUACUAUAUGCUCUUAUUGCCAUAUUCUGAAUAACUUCAUCUUAGUAUAUUAUGUUAUAACUAUUAACACUGGACUAGACUUUCCAUCUCAAUGAAAAGUUUUGGUUGGUCAAAUGAUGAUGAAAUAAUCCUUGAGAUUAAAAGAAAAUUUCCUUCUUAUUUGAGAAGAUUAUCAUGCCAUGUGGUUCAUAUGAACUCAUAGCAUAUGUUAAUGUGCUGACUUUUCUGGAAUUGGUGUGGUGCUGCAUGUUUAUCUUAGAUCUUUUUUCCUUUGUCAUUUUGGGGUUAAGACAAAGUAGAUCCUAGAUAUUGGAAUGUAACCUGUCUGAAAAUUUUCUACUGAUAUAAAAAAAAAAUCAGUAGAAAAAUAUGGAGACAAAAGCAUCUGGCUUUCAUCAUGAGCCUGAAGCAGUGCUCUCAUCUCAACAACACCACCAGGCAAUAGAAUCAUAGGAUCCACUGAAGCUGGUACGGAAGAAUGUUGCAAGAAACUUGCAACAUUGUUGGCACUCAUGCCGCCAUUUUCCUCCUCUGCCAUUCAGGCCAUUUUACCAUAUCAGUGAGCAAUUAUGAAGUCUUCCCUUUCACCUUUACCAUAGGUUUGAAGGUUUAGUGAAGUGAAGGCUACUGACCUCCAACUUUUAUUGCUUGGCUGAAAGUUCACGUCACAUAUCAGAAGGAAAACUUUGUUUCUUAUUCGAAGGCUUUGUAUAUUUCUCUAUUAUGGACUUUAUACAGCAGAUUUCAAUUAUAUAUAAUUAAUUAAUUAAUCUUUUAGAAAGAAUAUGGAUGCAUGUUUGGUGUCAUAUGAUUAUUUGCUGUUGUGGAUGGAUAGGUUGUCUCCAUGUCAUACUAGGCCAAGAUUCCCACCCCUAAUGGCAUGCAUAUACUUACAUGUGUUUUAAGCAAUUGCUACGUUGUGACAAAUAUCAACAUUGGAUAAUUGAUUGAAUAUGUUAAUCUAAAAGCAUUCAUAGUUGAAGAGACAUAAGUAGCUGGAGAUAGUUUGAUAGAUUCUAUUGUACUUCUUUAUAUGAAACUGUCGACAUAUUGUUCUCAUAAUCAUUUUGAAGAUUUCUGCAAAAAGACUGAUAUGCAUUAGUUAGAUAAAAAAAACAUGGAAAAAAAGAGGAGUGGUCAUAGGAUGGUGAACAAAAAGAACACAAAUGGAAAAAGUCUUGGUUUUCCAACUUGAAUUUAUCUGGAUUUUUUUGGAUCCAAAAACUUAACUUAUUACUCAACUUUCUAUCCUUAAUUGUUCCUAGGUUUCUUUUCACGGAAAUCAGGAGAUGCAAUGAGAUUGGUUGGUACCUGAGUUGCUUUAUGUAUUUGCUAUGAGAAUUUAGCCAUUUAGGAUUGAUAUUCUUUUGAUCUGGUUGUCUCUGGUUGCAUUCCUAUGUCUGUAUGCCAUAUUAGAUUUUUGUAUUUGAUUUUUUCUUAAAUUUUAUUGAAUUUUUAGAACAUUCUCAUUCUCGUCAAGUUUGCAUUUUCCUUGAGACUUAGGGUUCUAACGUUGCAUAGAUCAUUAAACCUUUGUCUCAAUGUUUUGAAAAUUGUUUGUUACAUGGUGAAAUAUGAAGUAGCAUAAAUUAAAAUAAUUCAUUUUCUUUCAUUUUCCUUGCAUGUGCAUUUAGCUUUUUCUAAUGGAAUACGGAAAUAUAGUAGUGGCCAGAAGAUUCAUAGAAUCUUUUAUACAUGUCAGUGCCUAGUGCAAAUUUUGAUGCUUAUUAUGUAUAUUCAUAUGCUAGCAAACACAUCAAUACAUGGAAAUUCAUGAAUAUACAAAAUAUAACAAUUAUCAAGUGUCUCAUAAAGUAUGAUAAUUUCUUGUCAUGCUAAUGAUUAUGGACCAAAUUUGUUAAAUUUUUAGCAUAUUAUUAUGCACAAAAGAUUGUCAUUCUGUAACAGAAGGGGUAUUGAUAACUUUAUGUCAUUGUGUGAUUUCUGCCAUGCUGCUCGGUCGACCAUGUCGCUGGCAUGGGUCAGAUCAACUGGCAUGGACCGAAAAGUGGCCUAGCUAGUAUCUCGUCGGGCCUAUGCUGACACAUACCAAUCAUCAUGACAAUCCUAUGGUACAUAAUGCAUGGGCCGGAUCAAUCAGCAUGGACCAGUUAGUGGUAAGCUAUUUGGUAGAUCAUCCAACCUUUGCUGACAUGUUGGUAAUCACGAAAUUUUAUAUUCUGUGAACCAUCUAUUUGCAGAAGUUUGAUGGAAUUGUAUCUAUCUCCUGUGUAAAUGUUUUAUUAAUGUAGUUUCUUUGAUACAUUUUGAUCUCUUUACUGCAGCAUCAUUCAAAUCACGAGAAGACCAUAGGAAGCAACUUGAAUUGGAGGAAGCACGUAAGGCUGGGCUUGCUCCAGCUGAGGUUGAUGAAGAUGGAAAGGAGAUCAAUCCACAUAUUCCUCAAUAUAUGUCGUCAGCUCCUUGGUAUCUUAAUGCUGAGAGGCCUGUAAGUUUCUUCAUGAAAAUUCAUUGUGCUUCUCACUUAAAAUCUUCUUUCUUAGGAAAUUAGUAACCUGUGCCCAUUCUUUUCCUAUAGAGCUUGAAGCAUCAGAGGAAAUGGAAGUCAGAUCCAAAUUACUCCAAAUCAUGGUAUGAUAGAGGUGCAAAAAUUUAUCAGGCUGAUCGAUACAGAAAAGGUGCAUGUGAAAAGUAAGUUCAUUAUCUUUAGCUUAUGUUAUUGGCACUUUAAGUAGCACAAGGCGUUGCACUAUAAACUAUUAUACUUUUCCUAAAGUCCUGGUUUUUUGUUGUUGAAUCAAAGAAUUAUGAUCCUAUACUGUUGAUACUCUUGAUUUAACAAGAGGUUCUUAUAAUUUAUUCAAAAUUGUUAUGCCAUACAUUGUUUUGUAACUGCUUGAUGUUUGAUAAAUUCUCUUCAAUGUUGUAGUUGUGGGGCAAUGACACACGACAAAAAGUCCUGCAUGGACAGGCCUAGAAAACUGGGAGCCAAGUGGACAAACAUGCAUAUAGCUCCCGACGAGAAGAUUGAGUCAUUUGAACUUGAUUAUGAUGGAAAACGUGACCGUUGGAAUGGUUAUGAUGCUUCCACUUAUUCUCGUGUAAUUGAGCAGUAUGAGGCUAGAGAUGAAGCCAGGCGGAAGUAUUUGAAAGAGGAACAGUUGAAGAAACUAGAGGAGAAGAACAACAAAAAGGCUGAUGAGGAUGGUGGUAGCGAUGACGACGACGACGAUGAUUAUCUGAAAGUUGACGAGGCUAAGGUUGACGAGAGCAAACAGAUGGACUUUGCAAAGGUGGAGAAACGUGUGCGUACCACUGGGGGUGGAAGCACUGGAACUGUCAGGUAAUUUGAUAUGAAAACACAGGAACUUUGUGAGCUUUGCAAUUAAACAUUUGCUGCCACUGGAUUUACUAGGACUUGUAUGCAUAAAUGUAAGUCGUUUGUUCUUUCAGGAACUUGCGUAUUAGAGAGGAUACUGCAAAGUACCUUUUGAACCUAGAUGUGAAUUCGGCCUAUUAUGACCCGAAAACCCGUUCUAUGCGUGAAGAUCCUAUACCUGACAGUGAUCCAAAUGAGAAGUUCUAUGAAGUGAGUUUGCAUUGUCUUUCUAAAACAUAUGUCAAGUUUCUUCCAUCUUUCUGCUUUACAAUAAAUAACUUAUUUUUUUAUGAUUUGCCAUAUAGGGUGAUAACCAAAACAGACUUAGCGGACAAGCACUGGAGUUCAAACAGCUUAACAUCCAUGCCUGGGAAGCUUUUGAGAAGGGACAGGAUAUCCACAUGCAAGCUGCCCCUUCUCAAGCAGAACUACUCUUUAAGAAUUAUAAGGUUAUCAAGGACAAGUUGAAAAACAACACAAAGGAUACCAUCAUGGAGAAAUAUGGAAAUGCAGCAUCUGAAGAAGCAUUACCUAGAGAACUUCUUCUUGGACAAAGUGAGAGAGAGGUUGAGUAUGAUCGUGCUGGUCGAAUAAUAAGAGGCCAGGUACGAUAUCUUGACAGGAGAUCUUUUUGUUGUCUUAUUUGAUUACUUUUAGAAGUCAGUAAUGCUUUGUUAUCCUUAGAAGUCAGUAAUGCAUUGAUAUCCUAUAAUUCCUAUUAUAGAUAUUCAGCAAUUGUUAUGUUACAUAGAGACUUUUUCUCUGCAUAAUAUUUGGUCAUAUUCUGCCAUUAAUUGAAUUUGGUUUCCUCAGCAUCUUAUAACAAGAUAUUUUUGGCUAAUUAGAUCAUUAGGUAGUUUUCGGUCUUAUUCUGCUAUUAUUUGAAUUUGGCUUUCUCUGCAUCUUAUAACAAUAUUUCUCUCACUAAUUAGAGUAUAAAUGUUGGUUACUUGUAGGAGACCUCCCUUCCCAGAAGCAAAUAUGAAGAAGAUGUCUAUAUCAAUAACCACACCACAGUUUGGGGAUCAUGGUGGAGGGAUCACCAUUGGGGCUACAAAUGCUGUAAACAAACCAUCCGCAAUAGCUACUGCACAGGCUCAGCAGGAAUUGAAGCUGCUGAAGCUGCAACAGAGCUUUUGAAGGCAAAUAUGGCUCGUAAAGAAGAUGCAGAAGGUCAAUAUGAUAGAAAUUUUCAUACUUUCCAUAACCAAUUUAAAAAUAAGAUCAUUCUUCGUUUUUGACAUUGUCUUCAAGGUCAUGACAAUCUCAUUGGCAUUUUCCUGCUAAACAUGCCAAUUUGAAGAAUUCUUCGAAUUCAUGUUCAUUUCCAAGUAGCAUAAAUCUAUAGAGUUUAAGACAAAGGGAGAGAGGGAAGAGAGGCAUCAAAUGCCUGCUUGGUUCAGAGCAGCUGGACUGUCAUUCAUAGUGAUGGCAGUGAGAGAGAGAGGAUGAAAGUCAAAAUCAGAGACUAGAGACUUCAUGGUCUGAUUUGGUAUACAAGGCAUUGGGGUUUGAUUUUGUUGGUUCAUUUUGACAGCCCUCUUAGUGCUGAGCCGACUUCGAUUAUCGUGGAGGUUUUUGGCCAACCUAAGCCUUGUUGGUUGAUUUUCUGUAUAAUGGGUUGGUUUGGACUAGCUUACUGGACUCCUACCUUUCAGAGAGCUGCAGUUUUCUAUAAUUACCCCAUGACAUUGUUUGUAACUACUAAAUUCAAUGCGAAGAAGUACCAAGUGAACUGACUGCUUAAGAUUUUUCUAGAAGUGCAUGACCAGACAAGCUUAAUACAUUUUACGACUGAAGUUAUCUCAGUCUGGCAGGCCAUUUCAUAUUAGUUCCAUGUUUUCAUUUGAUAGCGAUCGGUUUCUACUUUGUUGCAUGCUGUUUGGUUCUCAUCUUCCUUUCUUUUUCCUCCUUUCUUUUUAGGUGUGUCAUCGAUAAUCUUCUAUAUCACCUUCAAUUUUCUCAUAUAAAAUGUUGGUGUCCUGGUAAAUGGCAGAAGAAAAGAGAAAAAUGAAAAGGUGUUCAUGUUCAACAUCAGUGCUCAUCUUUAUGUUCCGUUUGACUUAAAAAAUCUUGAACUGAAUUAACUAGAGCUCACUUGUUCAGUUUAGGUUUUUUAUGCUCAAUUUAGGUAGUUGCUUUAUACAAGUUUCUUUUAGGUUAUUAGCUUCUUUGAUGUAAAUUACUGUAUCAUCGAGAAAUUCCAUGGUAUGUAGGAGUAUCAAUAUUAUAACUACUAUCGAUACCAUCCCCUUUUUCGUAUCUUCAUGAAAGUGUGACAAUCUUUCUUCGAUGCAAGGAUCCAUGAUUAUUGGAGCUCAGUUUCUUUUUGAAUGUAUGAAAAAUAUGGUUUUGGGCCUCUAAGGUUUUUCCUAGUUUAUUUUAGUUCUUCAUUUAUAUUUAUUUAUGACAUUGAAUGUGCUAAUAUAUGCAUUUUGCAGAUAAGCCUGUACAGCAUGAAGAAAAGCAGCUUGCCACUUGGGGAACUGAGGUCCCUGAUGAUCUUGUUCUAGAUAAAAAGUUGCUGGCAGAAGCACUGAAGAAGGUAGAUUAGUGGCUCUUACUUUUGUUUACUUGUGUGCUUUUUGUUAAUUCAUUGAUGCUAAAACUAACUUUCUGUUUGUACAGGAGGAUGAACGAAAGAAGGAAGAGAGGGAUGAAAGAAAGAGAAAAUACAAUGUCAAAUGGGAUGAUGAGGUACUUAAUUCACAAAUCAAUUCUUAAUUGAUGCACUAAAAUAUGUUUUCAGAAUCACAAGAUCCUAAAGCUUCAUAGGAACCUGAACCAAUAAAAAUAAAUGAAAAAUGAAUACCAACUGACUACACUGAGUUAUAUGGUAAAUUGUGGUCCCUGGCUAGACUAGUACCAGAUGAUGGAUGGUACAUAUACCCGUCCCGCUAGCAUUGUUGAACAUUAACGCCAUGGCAAGCGGAAGCUGUGAUCUUUUUAUUCGUAGGUGAAGUUUUGCUGCAAACACAUGAUCGGAAGGAAAUCCUUUAAUUAUGACAAUAUUGUUGAUUUUUGUGGGGAGGUGGAUGGGAAGUCUAAUUCUCUUAUGAUUUUAUGUCCAUGCAGGUUACCGUGGAAGAUAUGGAGGCCUAUCGAAUGAAGAAGAUCCAUCAUGAUGACCCAAUGAAAGAUUUCCUCCACUAAUUAUAAUAUUAUUAUUAUCCUAUAGGGUCCUCCUGUGUGUAUGUAUAUAUACUGAGAUUGUUGGACUAGUUGCGAUUGGGUUGACUAGGAGUCCCCUGACAUGACUUGUAUGGCUGGAUGUUUUACCAACCGUUGAAAUGACAGAUAUAUUUCAUCUCUUUUUUUUUAGUUAAUUAAACCUAUAUAAAAAUGAUUCGGUUUGUAAUCCUAAAUUAAAUUUUUUUCGUGCCAGCUGUGUAUGUAGGCCUAAAAUUGGACCGGAUGGGGAACAUGACCGCUAACUGGUUUGACUGCCGAACCGAUUUCCCGGUUCGAUCAGGUGUCAUCAAUCAGCACGAUAUCAUAAUUCUAUUUAUUUUUUAAAAAUUUAAAAAAUAAAAGGUAAAUUAUUAUUAAAAAUUAAAAAAAUAAUGGUUGUUACCAAAGUGAGUUUGAACUGAUUGAUUGGUUUGAGUGGUGUUGGAUUUCCAAUCAAUGUAGUCUUUUCUUUCCAUAGGAAGAUUUGGGAACAAAAUAAAAGAUGUAAAAUAUAAUAUCAUUUUCUUUCUAGUGUCAUGGUAUGAUUUCUGUGCUAAUCCACCACCAUGGCAAGCUUGUCGCUAAUGACGUUGAAUGCUUUGUCGUGGAGUCAAAAAAUGGUAGUUUGUCGUCUCAGUAAAUAUAAGAAGAAAAUGUACUAUAAACUUAUUUCAGUAAUAAAAUAAUUAAUUAUGGUAAGAUUACUUCUUGAAGAAAGAGUCUCUUCUACUGUUCCUUUCUGAUGACACUAACAAAUUCUCCUUAACCUACUAUCGUUAUCCAUGUUGGAAUUCAGAUAAAAUUGUGACUCAAAAUAUGUAACGUCAAACUCAAUAAUAGGCAACUAUUUAUAUAUUAUGUAUCCUAACACUCUUGCUGGCUAUAUAACACACACGAUAGACAUAGAAACAACAACGCGUACAUCUUUUCAGAUGUAUUCCGUGACACCAAGAAUGUCUCAGGUUGAAUUGAUUCGUUCAUUGAUGGAUUGGGUUUAUGUAGCAUCAACAUCAUCUGGAACACUUACAAGCAACUUCCUUUCCCUUUAAAUCUGUAAUAUACCAACAUUCUUUUUCUUCGAAGAAUCAUAUGGCGUGAUUUACUGAGUUAUACAUAUGCCUUCCACAGCUUUAUGAUUUCCACAGUAGCAUCAUCAUUUUAUUUUAUCUCUAUCCUUGUUCUUUUUAUAGUCUGAUGAGCUGCUUAAUUAUUUUCAUGAAAAUAAUGUGAAAUAGUGUGAAAAGUAAAUUGUUAUAUAAUUGGUUUGAUGUUGACUAUUUGACAUAGAAUGUGACUAGCAUGCUAGAUAAAAACUUUUGAUCAUAAUUUUAUUUUUUCUUUUUAUAAAAGAUAAAUGAGGAAGGCGGAAUUAUAUACCAAACAUCUUCAACCUUAUUAAUUUAUGCCAAGAAAGAUUGAUAUGUCGAUAUUAGAAAACCUCGAGGAGGAGUUAAUGAUGUUGAUAUAGAUAGUUGUUGAUCCCUUUUGGGCAUAGUAGCAUCAUGCUCACUAAAUAUCUAAUAACAACAGUGAACUCGUUUGGUCCUUUAGCCACAUUAUGCAUGAGAUACCUUCGAUUCAUUUGCACCGAGGACUGGUUUUCAUCCUCCAUAAGAACUCAUAUGGGCAUGCACAAUGGUAAACAAGUGGUUCGUAGUCCAGUCUUCUAAGGCAUUUUAAGUUCAUCUUGAUUUCUAUAAGAGAAAGAAAGAAGAAGAGAGUGUGAGGGAAGCUUUGUAAAAAGGGGGUAUAAAGGUUCUCUCCUAAGCGUACAAAAGGAGAAUAGAGUUAUAAGAAGGAGGUUGAUCUUCGUCUAUUAAAGAAAGAUCGUUAGUGUAUGCCAGUGGCCUCGACGAAUGAGGAAUCAGUGGAGUGAAUGUAGGUCACGAUGAUCGAACCACUAUAACUUGGGUUGCAUUUACUUCUUGCAAUUUACAUUUACUGCACACUGCCCUUCUUUACUUGCUUUAUAUCCACUACACUCUUCCAUAUGCUUUCAAGUUAAUAUCUUCCGAAAUAGGUUUAAUCGCAAUGAGAUUUUCAAACUGACGUAAUUUUUACCGCUGCACUAAUUCACACCCCCCCUAGUGUCGACUUGUUCCUAAUAGGUCUCAUAGCUACUCAUGUGGGGACACUAAGGAUACAAUAUAAGUGCUCAUUAGAGAAUGAGUUCACUAAUUGAUUUGCUUAUAAAAUGCUAGAUGGUUGAUAAUACCUUAUUGUCAGACAACGAUUCCGUCAUCCCAGUGGUGUAUCUAGUCUUUAGACUUGAAACACCAAGAAUAUCUUGUAUGAGUACUCUACUCUUUGAUACCGGAGUAAUAGGUUUGGAAGUUCUAAAUCUAGUAUAGCCAGUUAUCGAGAGUGGCAACCAACCUUACGAGGGUUAUUAAGUAUCGAUAGAGGAUCAUCUACAUUUAGUAUUAUAAAAGGAAUAUCUCAUGUAUUUUUGCUUAGACAACUCCUUAGCCAGGGUCAUUUGGAUUGAGAGAAAAAGAGUUCUCCGGGAGAAUCCGAUUAGAGCGAGACUCGAGUAGAAAUUGUAUGAGCCUAAUAACACCAUACCCAGUAUAUAUUCUCUGGGAUAUUAGAUGUAUGAGGAACUAUAGGUAUGUUGGGGAUAAAGGAGCAAGAAAACGAUAAAAAUAUAAUACUAUGAAGCAAUUAAAAAAAAUCUUUUCGAUCAAGAAAACAAUUGUAGUAUUUAAAUAAAAGGUAAGAUAAGAACACUUAUAAAAUAUUCCCAACUGCACACUCACCCUCUUGCUUCAUGAACUAUGGUCUUAUUUAUAGGACCUAGUGGUAACUACCUCACUCCCUAUGUCACCCAUGAUUGAGGUAGUUAUAGGAACUACCCUAUAACUUUUAGAUCAUGGGCCACUUCUUGAAACAUGCCUAAAAUUAUCCUGAACAUGAUAACUAUCUAGAUAACUAUCAUGAAUCAAUUCUCAACACUCCUCUUUGAUUGAUAAUUACAUACAUCGAUUUACGACAUGAAAUAAGUAUGCUGAUGACGAAUCUAUGUAGGUAGGAGCUCAAAAUCAAAGAGCUGUAUCUUCCACAGCUUGGAAACAAACAAGGUGGUCAUUAAUGGAUGUGUCAACUCCAACGAAAAGACCAUGAGAACCAAUUAUCCUAGGAAAAGAAAACAGAAACCAAGAAUCACUAUCGUUCUUAUUGAUCUUCUUCGACUCAAGGAAUUUCUUGUGCAGCAGACCAAGAAAAUUUAUGGGAGGGAAACAGUAGCGGUUGCAGGAAACAAAGCUUGAGAUCGGAGGAGAGGAAAGCAAACAAAAGGGGAAUCCAGCAUUCAUGUUCCGAGAAAUCCUUCAUCCAUCCUGACAUGGCACAGUAAAAUAUCUUUCUUCUCUCGGUCUGUCUUCAGUUCCGACACCAUUAAAUGAGAGAAGCUUCACCGCUACUACAGCUCGGAAGGCGUUUGGAUCCUUUACAUCAUUUUGUUUGUCAGCGAAAGCAGAGAUGUUGUGAGCAUAAACAAUAGGGUUUAGGGUUUAUGUGAUAGUUGGCAGAGAGAAUACUUAUAUCAUCUUCAUAUAAUUCGGGUGCCAUCGGAGAUCACCAAAAGAAAUCCAGUGGACUGUAUCACUCACACACCCCUGAAACAUGGUAGGCUGAUGAUGAUGAUGAUGAUGAUGAUUCGGACCCUCACGAACUGGCCUUGUCGAUCAUCGUUCUUCGACAGGUUACAUCAUCCCUGAAAUUUCCGAUGGUGGUUUCCAAAAGCCGACCUCAGGCGGCCCCCCAGCGAAUAUGAUUCUUUUGCUCCUUCCACCGCCUAUACAAGUCUUUGGAAUUUGUAGGAUCGGUGGGUAAGAACAGUGCAAACGUCAAAGCGUGAUCAACUGUUCCUGUGGACGCAACCAGCCGAAUCGGGAGCAUAUAUUAUGGGGAACCGAAGCAUCAUGAUCCGUCCCUGAAUUCCACGUUGAGAAGCAGUGGGGAGUUGGUGCGUUUAGAGGAGGAAGAUGGAGAUUAGUGAGGAAAUAGAGAGAUGUUAAUGGGAUGAUUCCAUAAUGAAGAUAAGUUCGUUUCAUCCCCAAUAUCACAGCCCCCACCAGUGAUUACUUUUUAUCUUGUCACAUCACCUUUCGUCCCACUGUCAAGCUUUGUCUCCAUUGACACAGAAGCCCUAGCUGUGCACCGAUGCACUUUCUCUCUCACUCAUUCAGCUCGUUGAUUUUUCUCAUUGGUGUAGGCAAGACCUGCCCAGAAAUUGAGCAGGAUUCUCGAUCUCCUUUUAUUAGGCCGAGCAAGAGUUCCACGGGCUUUGGGACUCCCCUCUUGUGUACAGAAGAAACAUGUAGGCUUUCGGAAUCUUUUCUCUCGUAGCCAGACAUCAGCCACUGGAAACAGUAAGCUUCUCUUACCUCUCGUCUUUCCUUCCCGUUCAGAUGUGAUCCCCUGAUCAUGGCUUUCUAGGUCUUCUAGUCCUUCCUCGUCUCCAACAAAACGUCAGCCGCAACCACAUAGGCAAAAUCCAUGCUGAUCUGAGCUAGAUCUGUAGUAGAGUAGCUCUCUCUCUCUCUCUCUCUCUUUCUCUCUCUCUCUCUCGCAUAAUGGAAAUGGCUAGAUCAUCUAGCUUCUCGAGCUUGUCAACAGGUAAGUGAAGAGGAAGAGAAGUAGGGGGCAGCCGCUAAAUAGGUCAUCGUAUUUCAUGGUCGUCAUCACCAUCAUCCAUUCGUUUUCUGUCAGCUGUGACUCGAGAGUCUUAUGCAGGAUGAGCUAAGGAAGUGUAGAAGGAGUCGGAAGGAUCACUGAGAAGAAGAAGAAGAAGAAGAAUCUACAGUGAUCCUCCUUCAUGGAGUUGGUACCAAACCCAGAUAGCCCGCAUUCCAAGAACAGCGGUGCCAUCAGUCCCAGUAGCAGGCGGCAGAACUUUAGCACCACCUCCUUGGCCGCUGCCAGCGCUGGCGGAGCUGCCACCUCCUCUUCCCCUCCGUCGUUAAGCCGCUACGAGUCUCAGAAGCGCCGCGACUGGAACACAUUUGGUCAGUACCUCAGGAACCACCGCCCACCGCUCGCCCUCUCCCAGUGCAGCAGCGCCCAUGUCCUGGAGUUCCUCCGCUACCUCGACCAAUUCGGCAAGACCAAAAUUCACACCCACAUGUGCCCCUUCUUCGGCCACCCCAACCCCCCCGCGCCGUGUCCGUGCCCCCUCCGUCAAGCCUGGGGCAGCCUCGACGCCCUCAUCGGCCGCCUUCGUGCUGCCUACGAGGAGAACGGUGGCAAGCCUGAGACCAACCCAUUCGGCGCCCGCGUCGUUCGUCUCUACCUCCGCGAGGUUCGUGAAGUCCAGUCAAAGGCACGGGGCGUCAGCUACGAGAAAAAGAAGCGCAAGAAGCCACCACAACAACAAGAGCAUCACCAUCCUCCGCCGCCUCCGCCCGCAGCCUGAUCUACCUGCAUUAGAUCUAUGUGCGUGCAUUAGCUAUGUGGUGAGCUUCCCUUCAUUCCAUUUGGUUGCCAUCAUCAUCAUCAUCCCUUUAUGUGCUCUUUAAUUCCCAGCUGAUUGAACCUAUGAACCAAACUGCUGCUACAUAUUUAAAAGUAUCUCAUGAGAUGUCGGUUUUGUGCAAUUAAAUCCAUUAUAUGAUCUGAACAUUUUGGUGCAUUAAAAUAGUCCAGUAGCUGCAGUGAGUGGUAGUGCUCUAUCAGUCUAGUGGGGGGAAAACAAAAGAAAAGGAGAGGGGGGGAAACAACACAAGUACAGUACGCUCGUGGAGGUAAAAAGCACCAGCUAAGAGGGAGCAACUGCUGCAGAGAGACCUCUGGUCGUGGGGAGGACUCUCCAUGAAUGGUAAAGAACAAAGAGAGGGAUGUGUUCACUAUUGUAGUUUUGACUGAAAGAGGUCACUGCGACGGGGUGUACUUAAGAUUCUUAUAAUGGCAAUGCAAGCAUCUAUUUCGCCCACAGCUCAGACCAACUUUUCUUCUUCUUCUUACGGUAUCAAAAGCUUAAGUGUGGAGACCUUAUAAUAUCUUGUCAGUCAGUAGUACCCAUGUAUGGUUUCUUUUCCACACAUUUAUAGAACUGGGAGUCAGUGCUGCGAUUCUGCAGCAACUUUUCAGAUACCUUACCAUUCAUUCUAACACCCAUUUUCUUUUCCUGCCUCGCUAUCAUCUCUCCCUCCUUAGGAAUUAUCCUCAGCACCGGCCGUGUAGGACUCUUUCAUUUCCAAGGUUUCCUUAUAAUCCACCCCUUGGGCUUGCCGUUCUCGAUGUUUUUGGCAAUCACAAACGCACCCACCCACUCCGACUUUACACUCGCAGCGAACCCAAAGCUGAUCCCAAGGUUGUGAUCGAGAUUGCCACAGGUAUUCGUCGAUGGAGGCGUAAGAAAGGAUCGAAAACUUGGGGAAUAGGCAUCCCAAGAUUGUGGUCUCACACUGUGUUGCUAUGAAUGAUUGGAUGGCAUUUAAGACUCCUCCCGCUGGGAGUGUGAGCAGACUCCAAUAUCUUCUUUUUACACUCCACUCCACUCCACUCCACUCGAUGGGAAUAGUGUAAGGUGGUGGUAAUAUAUUGAUUGCAUCGGUGGUACUUGUGCAUCUUUAGAAAUUCCUCUUCAUUGAUGAGCAUGACCACCACUGAGUUGGCUCUUAUACAUGGUAAAAACCAUGGCGACCUCGAGCAGGAGAUACGGCGGGGUUUAAGGUAUCCUCCAGAUUAGCGUUGAGUUGCAUGACCUGCAACUCGCAGGCUUGUUUCUUCUUUAUGUCAGUUUACUUGCUAGUUUGAGGAUUACUGGAUCUGUGACAUUGCAAAUUCUCAGAUGACUUGUCAUGCAAUGACAUGACUUUCUAUCUUGGAACCCUUUUUUAGCAAGUGAAAUAAUUCUUUUUCCUUCACACAGUAAACAACUCUACAUUGCAAUCAGCACAUAAUUCAUUUUUGGCUUUCGUCGUAUGAUUCUAGGGUUUCGAUGCUAAUUGUUGCAUCUACAUGCAGCAGCAGCUGCUGAUAGGUUUUGGUAUCAGUAUUGCAGAUGGUUGACAUUUGACCGCUUUGCUUCACUUCAUCUGCAUGUAAAAGUGAUCUUUGCAUGGUUUAUGCUCCAUAGAUGCUUCUACAGGAAUGGUUGUCAUCUUGUGCCAUCAGCUGUUGUAGACUACAUAUUUUAAGGGUAGGAGAUCGGAAGACUCGUGCUGUGAAUCUAUUUAACUGAAAGGUUGAUCAUUUCAAGGCAGUGAUGGAUAGAUUCUUAUAGUUCCCAUGUCGUGUUUCCAGAUUCUCUUCCUCUUUGGAUCAUCCAAGUGAAACCUUCGUCUAAGUUUCUAAGGUCGUGUCAUCCAGAAUAAAAUAGUGUGGUAAGAUUCAGCUUGUCGAGGUCCUGAGAUUGCACCAUCCUAGUUUGGAUCGAAGUGCAGGUGAGGAGCAAGUCCUCGAGCUCAUGCAUCUUCCUUUAUGGAUCUUAUCAAGUCUGCCCUAAUCAUCAGGUAUCAAUAAUGUCUUGGAUACUCUAACGACACAGAUAAAAAGCAGUGACGAAACAUAUCAGUCCAAGAUCUUGAGCUACACCACUGUAAGAUUGAUAUGGAAGAAGAUUAAGGAGUAGUAAAUGUCAGGUUUUGAGAGAGAAAGAGCUACAGCUAAUUUCCUAUUUCUCCUUGUGCACUAGAAAAGCUUAUAGUUCUUCUUUUCCUGCAUCUAGAAAAUGUGAAUAGCAACUAGCUUUCCAUUUUUAACAGCAGUUGUGCACUAGAAAAGUGACUUCUCCUUUUACAGUGCAAGUAUUUUGCUUUUAGCCUCUGAUAUAUUUCAUCCAAUUAAAUGUGCAAAGUAAGAAUGGUAAUUUAUUUUAAUUUGUUUGAUUUGUUUUCUCUACUACAUAAACUCACAAUCACAAAAUAAUGUUGUGCAUCUUAGAAAAAGAUCACAAUUAAUGGUUGAGAUAUUGAUCUUAUCAUUUUUGUCUUCAGCUAGUUUACAUGGUUAUCCAAAUUAACUUCCAAACAGUGCAUUUUCUAGUGAUUCAGAUUUUAAGCCAAACAUUUCUUGGUCUCAUCUUUUCUCUUCUUCUUUUUUGGAUCAUCCAAACCGAACUUUACUAUAGAUGAUUCACAUGCAUAAAAAUUACUCCACUACGUUGUUAUUUACCAUAGUUAAUCAUGAGAACUUUGAUUUGGACCUCUUUGAUCCAAUUGGAGAGAGAUGAAAAGAAAUCAAUAUUGCUGCUCGUAUAUUCUAAAUGGAGAUACAGAAGAUCGAGACGCAGAAUGUUUCUUAUUCGAGAAGGUAGAUUUGGAAUCGACAUCGAUUUGGAUUGUGAUGCCUCUCAAUUUCGAGUCUGGUGAUCCUUUAGAUAUGGUUUUGUAGCCAAACGAGUGUUCAUUUGCGUGCUUCUAAUUGAAAUCUACAUAUGCUUGACAACAUUUGACAACAUAUGGUUUUCUUUCCGGCAAUUCCUCUACCAUCUUCCUCUCUCUACGAGCCUUUGAAGCAUUGAAUGAUGGUAGGAAAGCAGUACAAGGAGUGACUGUUGAUCCUUCUAUCGUACACACAGUCUAUGAACAUGAAGACACUAAACCACAUCCUUUACUCUUUCAGUCUUCUUCCUUGCCCUAUUUAAUGGAGUAAAAUACCAGUGAUGUUAAAGCUAAAAAUACCAACAUCAGUUCCAUUUGAUGUGGUGCAAUAGUAGCAAAAGAGAGAACAAAGCUUGACAUGAUCAAGCGUUGAACCUUGUAACACAAGGGUUUAUACAUAUGCUUAUUAGGUUUCCAAGCUCAAUGUUUUUGAUUGUAACUAUCAUAGCAAAUCAGAAGUACAGUACACUCAAGUCUGCUGCUGGGAUUAAACCCACGCUCUUCCUUCAGACCGUUGCAAACCAUCCAAGUUGCAAUCAUGGCACACAAAUAGAGAUAAGAGAGACGAGAGAGAGAGAGAGAGAGGAAGGAGUCACAAUCGAUCAACACAUAGGAUGCAACAUAAGUGUCCCUCUGGAGAAUCUUUUUAGCGUUUCAAAGCCUCCAAACAUAAAUGGGACAAAAUAGAAUCAAUACUUGAGUGCCAAGUGAAUGAUUAUGGCUAAUGAUCAAACCAUGUGGCAAUCGCUGCACUUGCAUCACAAUCUAAAGCUGUUCACUUUCACGGAAGCUUCCAUCGAUGAAGAACAAUUGAUGCCGAUGCCUGCCGCGUUCAUCUGACCCCCAUGUUGCCAAUCGAGACUCACUUGAACAGGGAAUGCAAGUGAAGACUUGCAAUGAAGUCUCUUCAGAGCUUUCUGGCAAACAGUGGAACUGGAGAUUGCUAUCAUACGAAUACAAGGAAAACGAUAGUCCGCCAUGGACAUCGAUUGUUUCUUUCUGGAUCCAUACCAAGGAUUGUUUCUGCAGAUCACUGACUCUUGUGACCAAACACUAUCUUCUGCUUGUCACCUACUCCUACUCCUCCACCAGAGGCUCGACCAAUACAGCUAACACGUCCUUUUAACCUACUCCCAAUCAAGCAUGACUGAACCUUUGGCUUCUCUGUCUUCCUCGAUUCCUAAUAAUUUUUCUUCUAUUUUAUUUUAUUUUGUCAUGGUGGUGUGUUCAUAUUAAUCGACUAAUUUCUCGUUAGCAUGAUGAGAGGCAAACCACCGGAUCCAAAUUUUCCAUUAAUUUUUUCUCUAUUAUCUAUUAUAUUGAUUUGAUGAUGAUAAUUAUUAGUAGUGACAGCAUGUUUUCUCUCGCUGCGUAUGGUCACUGUGUUCCCUGGCAGGAGUGCGAGGAUGGGGUCAGGCCAAGGCGUGUAGUGGCAAAAGAAGGGGCCUGCAAAUUCUUGUGAGCUGAUGUGACGCCUCGGAGCACGAGGGCUGCUUCCCUCGAUGUCGGCGUUGCCCUUGGCACCAGUGGCCGGCGCCCACACGUCCGCCCCAGGGGAGUGGGCCCCCGCGCCGCGUACGGAGACGCCAGGUGGGGGGGCCGACGUCCCGUCGUCGUCGUCCCCGGUGUGUCAGCGUGUUUCCUGAAGCAGUAAAGAUAUGGCGGUAGCGGUGGCCGCAAGCCACUCGCCUUGUCUCUCCCGUCCCACUCUUUCUCGGGCUGUACGAACGAACGCUCACGGAUUUGACCUCCCUAUGCGGGUUGAUGUGAGGUGCAUUAAUUGGCACGGCAACAGGCAAUUAGUGGGAGGAGGAGGGUUAGGAAGAAAGCAAUCGGACGGUUCUCAUUAGAUGACAUUUCUGCCCAAAUUUCUCAGAUAUUUCUAUUUGUUUAUCAUAAUAUUGUGUAUAUAUAUAUAUAAUUUAUGAAAUUUUUAUAGUAAAAUUAACAACGAUAAAACAAAAGGAAAUUUGCAGAAACUUCAAAGAAGAUUAGAAAGAAAGAGUAGAAUAUAUGUUGUAAUCAUGUGCUGGCAUCAUCAUGCAUCCCCUCCCAUAGACCAACCCUAAAGAUGGUCUCAACCAUUAAGUGGCCAUUCGGCCACCCAAAAAGACUAGCAAUUAUUGAACAAGCUUUGUCGGGGUGUAUUUUGCAAUCAUUCAAUACCCAAUCAAGGAUUGGGUAUGACAUUAGAUGGAUGGUCUUUAAUCUUCAACUAUUGUUCGUAUUUUUGUGUGUGUGUGUGUGUGAGAGAGAGAGGACAUCUUUUGUGGAUUAUUUAAUUAUCUACUAAUCCAUAAUAUUGAUUAUAAUCAUAUUUAAAUUAUUAUUUAUAAUAUUACUUCUAGUACAUCAAUUAUAACCACCUAGUUAAUAUGAUAUUAAUCUUUUUUAUUGAGACAUCCUACAUCUGAGUUAAUGUAUUGUUACACCAGGUGACAAGUUUCUCGAGUCUCCGUAUAAGUAAUAUUUGUUUUAAAAAAUAAAUAUAUUAUUAAUUAAUUUUAAAAACUUAAAAUAUUAAUUUAUUCAAAAAAUUAUAAUUACCUUUUUUCUAUAACAUAACACACUAUAGGUCAUCUGAAGAAGGUUUUGGGAUGCACUAAUUAUUUGGUUUGGGCUAGCCAUCAGAGGUCAACUCUUAACACUUGUAUUCAAUUGUCUUAUAACAAGCCCAAUCCAAGUUCAACAAAACCCAACCAAGCCUAGUAGCAUUGUUUGCUGUAACCAUCCCUUUUAUUCAUUUUUUCUAUUUUUUUGGGCAUAUAUCGCACAAAAGCUGAUAUUUCUAUAUGGAAGCUUGGAAAGUUUAACCAAGAUGCUCUGCUCAAUCUUGGGUAUUUGCAGAUUCCACAAGGCCUUGAGCUGAUUAGAUGCUCUGCUCAAUCUCGAUUUACUAUAGUAAUGAAUAGAAACAUUAAUGAUACAACUUAUUUGAAAAAAGUUAUCAAACAGCUUCUUCACCAGCUUAGUUAAAAAAAAGUAGUAAUCAUAAUUUAGUUAAAAAAUUAAUCCUAUAUAAUAUUUCCCUUAUUUUGUUCUGAUUGCUAGCAAUCUUUGCCACCAUAUAAGAGCCAUAUCUUCAUACUGUAUAGAAAUCCUGCUUCACCAGCUAAUCUUCAUCAAUUUCCUUAUAAUCACAAAAUCCAACAUUUUACUAACCAACCUAUCAUUUUGUAUGAAUAUUUCGUUUUAUAAAUACUAAAACACUUGAAAUAAGAAGAAAAAAUCCAUAUAUAAUUAAAAAGUCAAAAGAUACAUAAAGAAAUAUAAAAACACAUCUUAAUUUGCUAUUAUGACAUGCACUGCAUCAUUAAUGGACAAUGUUUCAUUGUUUACUGAACCAUCUGCCAUUAACAAUGUACAAAGGUUCACCCAAUAACAAUGAAUAUAAUUUCCCUAAAGUCUACGAGAGGCUUGUUUAUGGUAAAAAACAUACCCCUGCUUUUCUUUAGGUAACCAUUCAUACAUCCUAUUCUAUUCUAUUGAUGAACUUCUACGACUGCCAAACAUCUCUUACUUCGGCAGUUUGAAUGUGAUCGUGGAACAAAAUGCUCAAGCAAACAAUUAAGGUCCCAUGCAAAUAUAUGGCACAAAAGAGACAAGAUACAAAUCCAGCUCGUCUAGCAAGUGCCCACCGACCUGCAAGUAUCAAAACCAUAUGCAGUCCAUAUAAGGUUGUAUGAAGGUUCACCCAAGAACAAUGAGCAUGAUUGAUAUUCCUAAACUUUAGAAGAUGCACUAUAAGGUCACUUAUCAUCAGAUCCAAUAAUGCUCACUAUAUGAUUUAACAUUACAUUUAUGAGACAGUAACAAGCAGGACUGUCUAACAAUAACCUAAAACCCAAUCUUACAGAUUUUAAGUCUAUACCUUCAAAAGAGGGCUGCAAAUCAUGGGAACUUGAAUGCUAAAACAGAACUGGACAACACUUAAAAAGAUAUCUGUAGACAACCUUAAUUGAAGGUCCACAAAGAAUACAUACCUUGGUAGGCCGCUUUGCUUCAGCUUCACCUUCACACCAAUACCAUGAUCAAUGAUCAAUUGAAGACAAUCUGAAUCUUCCCUUCAAUUCAUUCCCCUUUUCUUGGUGUGCAGACCACAUUGUGAAUAUCAUCUUCAAUUGCACGUUGGGCCAAAACUAUUCCAACAGCAGUACAAGCAGAUGCAUCUUUCCUUGACUUCAAGUCAAACUUUGUCCUUCAAGAUAGAGUGUGCCACAGCGAUCACCUUGCUCAUGAUCCUAUGAAAAGAAAAGGCUCGAACUGACCAUUUUGGAAACAUAGAUUAUCAAGACAGAAUGGUAGAAGGUAUGGAUCCGUGAGCUGGUUAAUUGUCAGCAUUCUCUCCCCCUUUUUCCUCCAUUACGAUUGAUUUAGUACCUAAAUGUACAUUUUUUAUUACUGGACUUACACCCCUUGUUCCAAAGUUUAGCCACGUUUGGCUUAAUGACUUUUUGUUUCUUCUACAUCAUUGAAGUCCUUUAUAUCAGUUUUGUUGUCCUUUCAUGACUCUUUUUAGCUGAUUUCUUGCGAUGGAACUGUAUAUUAUACCCUUUGAAUUCUUUAUAACCCUUGUUGAGAUUGUAGAACAAUUUCUUAUGCAGCCUCAAAUCCUCAAUCUCAUCAAAAUCCAAGGAUUCCUCUGCUAAUGCAGCAGAAGAACAAGAACAUGUCUCAUCACUGAUAUCCAAAGAGGAUGAUAAAGUUUCCUUGCCCCCAUCAAUAAGAUCCAAUGACUUCAUGGGGUUCAAAGAAACCCCCAAGAGAUCAGUGUCAACAACCUCGAUCCAGAAACUGUUUUCCAAGUUAUCUCUACCAGAAGGUAUAAUCUGCAGCAACUUGAUCAUCUGAGAAUGAUCCGAGGCCAGUGAACAUGCGUUGCAAGCUCUUUCCAAGGAUUAUAAUGCCCAUGCUGCCCAGAAGCUACAGAUCUUUAGAGUGAAUGAUGGAUUUGCUGUAAACUUUUGUCUCAGUGAUAGGAGGAACAUGGCCAUCGGUGUCGCAAGAUUACUUCAAUCCGGAAUCACGUUGUGGCUGGGAGAAGAUGAUCCAUCGUGUGGUCUAAGUGGGAGGCAAUCUGGGGAAGCUCACCAUCUUUUCCUGCUCCUCCAGCGAAGAAUAUCCCUCAGUCCCACCCAUCAUUACUACUACUCUAUUCCUUCCUCUGCAGCAGUAAGGCAUCAAAGGGAAAGCAGCCCUACAGUUUUAAAAAUGUUUGUGUGCAUUAACAAAAUCUACAUGGCAUAAUUUAAAAAAAUAAAAUGAUUGAACAUCCAAUGUCUCAUCAUUUACUGAACCUUAUGUCAUGAACAAAAUAUACAAAGGUUCACCCAAUAACAAUGAGCAUGAUUGAUAUUCCUAAAGUUUACGAGAUGCCUGUUUAUGAGCAAAAGCAGGCAACUGCUUUUUCUUUAGGGAAGACACACAUGCACAAACAUAUCCAUUAAGCUAAGAUUUAAAGAACAUAAAUACUAAAAAAACUGUAGUUUUUUUCAGAAAUCAAAAGAUAUCAAACAAUUGGUCAGCAGAAAUACAAAGGUAACUUAUCAUCAAACUCAAUAAUGACAAGCAAAACUGUCUAACAAUAAUCUAAAACCUAAACUUCAAGAAUUUGAGUUUGUGCUUCCAAUAGAAAGCAGCAAAUCAUGGGAACUUGAAUGCUACAACAGAACUUGCAGUGAUUAAAAGCUUGGUUUAUGCAGCAUUCAAAAGUAAAUUGAGAAAGCUACCAUGGAGAUUUUUGACAGACAAAAGAUAACUAAGAGCAUUCUUCCACACAAUAUGUUACAUACAGGUUCAAUACUGGUUUUCAACAAAUCAAACUGUACAUCAACUUGUCCUGCCUGGUAUAACUGAUAAACAUAAUAAAAAUAUGAAUACCAAUAUAUGGUCUGAUACUGAUCCUUGGUCAGAGCAGUAAAUAAUGAUCAGUACAUACCAUUAGGACCUUUUUUUGGAACCAUGCCACCUCAAGUGUCUCCAUUUCCAGUAUUCAUCUUCUCAAAACUAUAACUAAUUUACUCAGUUUGUUCUGCAACAACAACGCCUAUCUGUCCCCUAUGCGGCAAACAGACUCAAGUUUCACAGAAUGAUUUUUGUUUGAUUAAGCUUAUAGUUGAAAACCUCAAAUCCCCAACAGGAAUUACUCCAAAAGCAUAAGAUGAUUCUUUGAAUGCUAUAAAGUAAAUCAAUCACUAAAGAAAAAAAAGGAACUCGUAGGGACUUGCGAUUGGCAGGAUUGGUGGGUGGGUUAUCUCAAAGACGUAGCCUGAACGAUGAGGAAUAAGGAAGCCAUAAAAGAAGGUAUUACAACAAAACGAAAAUUCUGAAGAGAUCAGAUGAUAAUGAUCUAACCCACCACAAUACUGUUCUCAAAGAUCCGUUCGCCCGAGAUCUCAGACAUCCUCCCGCCUCCCCCCUUACGGAGGCUGGGAGGCGUUCGGAAAUAUGGCCUCUUCCUGGCGUAUAUAUAGGAAUUAAAACCCUAACACAUACCUCUCCCACUCCAUCGGAUUGGUCCGGUUGACGGCGCGAAAUCGCCCCAAUACUGAAAC
This 82580-nucleotide long non-coding RNA is filed under the name Musa acuminata (dwarf banana). Its description in RNAcentral is "long non-coding RNA (MACU_LNC002110)". The record is from RNAcentral. Lineage: Eukaryota; Viridiplantae; Streptophyta; Magnoliopsida; Zingiberales; Musaceae.